Molecule: long non-coding RNA, 75939 nt
Filed under: Phoenix dactylifera (date palm)
Lineage: Eukaryota; Viridiplantae; Streptophyta; Magnoliopsida; Arecales; Arecaceae
Description: long non-coding RNA (PDAC_LNC006150)
Source: RNAcentral
AGAGAGAGGGAUAGAGGAAUGGGAAGAGGCAUUCAUGAUGUCCUUGCUGUUGUCAUCAUUCGUGGAGGUCAUCAUAGUCAGUGAAGGUUGCCAUCACCAUCGACCUGGAAGGCUGGUGCUAGAAGGGGUGGAGAGGGGGGAAUGGAAGCAGUAUGGGGAGGAGAGGGGAAUGGGAAGAAGUAAGGAGGGAGUCACAAGUGGUGUAGGAGAGGGGACCAACUUGAGAAAAUCAGGAAAUCUAAAACUCUACUUCAAAACUGCCAUCCAAAAAGUUGUUCUAAAUCUUUUUCCCAGGGAAUCAAAGAAAUACCAGAGUAUUGAGCAAUAUUCUACUAUUCCUAGGUACCCAAACAUGGCCUUAAUGUUUUGGCAUGCUUUUCUUUUGGUGAUUGUAUUACAUGGUAGCGUAAUUGCAUUUACAAAUGUUUAUUAUAUCAACUUCGACUAAGAGAGGGAACAUAAAUAUAAUAUGUUUCCGAUCGAUAAUGAGUUUAAGGAGUCUUUGUUGAAGUACUAAAGGAGACAUGUAUCCCUAUCCCUCAAAGCAUAGGUAUAUCUCUUGGUUAGAUAGAAAGAAGACAUUAACAAUAAAUUCCUUAUCAGUUGAAUUUUUUUAUUGGUUUGGUUCUUGAUCUGAUGUUCGAGGGGCUUGUCAAUGUGGUUGAAAUCAGGCUAAUUGGGGUAACGAGUUAAUUGGACUUUUGUUGGCUAAAUUGAGCAUAUGCUACAUGAGGAGUCCAAUGAGCUUAGAGCCAAUUGAUGGGGAUGUUUUUGGUCAUAUGUUCUAUCCAUUAGGUGGUGAUUUUCAUUUGGUUUGUUGGCUUAUUUGUGCCUUCAAGUUCUGACUAAUAAGGUGGAUUUUCCUUCCCACCAACUGGCCAUAUCCUAGUUGCCAGAAAUAGGAUCAGGUGUUGUAGUUAUUCAGAUGCAGAUAUUUGCAGUGGAUGCGCCACCCUUGAUAGAAAUUUUUGGCUACUAAGGGCUGUAUAGCUUUCAUGGCAAUCCUUUUGUUGCCUAUAUUUGCUUUUGCUAAGAAUUGGGCGCCAAUUUGUAGUGGGUUCACAUUAUGUUGACAACUAAUUAAAAUAUGUUUUAUCUAUUGAGCCUUCUCGACUGCAUGUCAUGCUCCGUAGCCAACCCAUAUUUGAUGGCACAAUGAUGAUAUGCUCUAUUUUUUUAUUUGUUUUUACGUUCAUAUUAGGGUUGGAAAUAUGAGGUUCUUAGUUUAUCUUAGCUUAGAAUUAUGUAUUUGAGUCAUAGUUGGCUAGGAUAUCAAUAUUUAGUUUAAUUGGAAGCUUGUUUCAUUUAAUAUAUGAUAGAAUUUAUAUUAGCUAGCUUUUAGGUGUCUCUUUAGUGGAGGGCUAAGGUAAAAUUGCAACAUUGUUGCUUGAAGAUAGAUUUUGAACAAAAUGCUUUGUUAUGGUUGAUUCCGCGUCUCUCUAUCUCUCCUCAUCCUUGCUUACUCCUUUUCUCUAAAUGGAAGGAAACACAUACAAGAUUCAAUUAUUACAAUCAUUUCUUAUGAAAAUUAUCAAAGAAAGUGGACCCAACACCAUGGAGUCUUGUUUUGAAGAACAGGAUGCAAAGUUUGAUCUUCUGAAAAGAAGAUGUAGAUAGUGUCAUUUAGAGGAUUUCAUUGUUGAUGACCAUGAAAAUGGUAAUCAUCUUGUCUGGUAUAAGAAACUUCUGGUGAAGUCAAUCUGAUGGGUUAAAGGUCUCACAAGAAAGGUUCAAUUUCAAAGGUAUUCAUAGGUUUGUCUGUUCAUCCAACGUCAACAUUAAUCAUCAUGGUCAAAUGAUGCCACGAUCUUUUACUGCCUAUGUGAUUGAUGUUUCUACUAUCAGAUCACAAAAAUUCAAUAAUAUGCAUGAACUCGCUGUCGGUUAACGUGAUAGUAGGACAAGAUCUGAAAAUUAUGAAGGUUCUUUACAAGCUUAGCUUCUUCAAGACUGCUUAGAAUCAGAUGUUUGAAUCUUGCUUGGUCAGGAAACACUCUGAAUAUUUUGACUGGGAAAGUCAAUGAACUCAGACUAGGAUGUCUAUUUCUGGUAUAGUUAUGUUGUAAGUGUCUUAUUUAGACACUAUGUUGGUUUUAGAUAGUCUUGGGUUUGUUAUGGCUGCCAAUUAAAGUGUCUUUUAUUUUAAGGCUGAGCUGUGGGAGACGUCUGAAAUUGUAAUAUGAAGACAGUUAACAUUGUAAUGAAUAGAAAAAUAUAUUUGUGUUAGAUUCCAUAUCCUCUCUUACUUUUUGUAUUCUUUGACUUGAAAAUUUUGAGUACAAAUCCAACCAUGAAGGACUUGUGUGUGUGUUGUGAUUUUUUAUCCAUUAGUUGCAGAAUGACUGCAGGAUCCUGUUGACUUAGAGGAAAAAAUUCAGAAUAUGAUGGUCGGGGUUAUGAAAACAUAUCAUAUGAGACUUGCAUUUAGUUUGUGAAUAUUCUUAAUGGCCGAUGGUUCUUUAAGUAAUAUACUUGGGGUGAAUUAUGAUGAAAGCUCGCUGAUCAACCUCUGAUGGUUUAUUUUGAUAUGAAUUUAGGAAAAUGAAACUGCUCUAGCAUGAAAACCAAUUUUGUGGAAGUCUAUGCCAAGGAUUUUGAUUAUUUACUGUUUCUUUGGUAUUUGGAUGGAACAUUUGAUUUGACAUGCAACUAGUUUUUUCUGUAUAGCUGAAUGAAUUAAAGGUUAGCAUCACUUUUGGUGAGAAGUUACCCACGAGUGUUGAUAAGCUGUUAUCGGUGCACAUUCGAAGAAAAGCACUUCAUAUUUUGCUUUGCAUAAUGUUAUCCAUGACUUUCUUAAUUAAAUUUGCUUCAAGCUUUUAAAUUUUCAUGGGUACACCAUGUCAAGUGAAAAAAUUGGAAGGUUGCUUGGUUAUGUAUAACAGACUUAGAAGUCCAUGGACAUCAUUUUUAUUGUUGAACAACAAAAAAAAUUUCUAGGAUUUUGGUCAAAGUAAAGUAUGGUUGGUGAUUGACUGAGCAAGAUUGAGGAGGUGUGGAUUUAUAGUAAGUGAUUUCUUAUUUUCAUACUGGAGAUAAUUUUGAUGGAUGUGUUUUGCCCCUUUUUAUAGUUUUACCUUACGACCUAAAUUCAUGCUUUUCUGUAAUGGUCUCUAUGAUGGUCUGGGAUCACCUCCACUUCAUCACACAUGUAUAAUGGAAAUAAAAUGUGGCUUCUAUCUAUGCUUUAUGGUAAUUAUAACAACAUUAUGCAUAUUAGUAACUAUCAUUUUCUUGAUGCCGUUAUCAUUUCAAAAUUAUAAUAUAGUUUUUGUAUUCAUAGAUAUAAAUAUGUAUGAAAUUAUGCUAUUUAGAUAGAGAAUACUAACAGUGCUUCUAUGUUAUUGUUAUAAAUUGAGAGGCAUUUUACUUGUUAUAAAUGGAUUUUAUGACAUAAUACCAUUUUAAUUUGAUUUUUCCCCAAAAUGAUGUCUUCAUUGCCCAGGGCAUGGUUGUUAUCUUUAAGUAAUGGCAUUAGAUCAUGCCUUCUUUUUUGGUUCUUUAUUUUAUCUAAAUUGAGGAUUCAUGGGAGCUUUUGAAAAAGUGUCUAAGAUUGGAACUUUUUAUUUGAAACUUGUUAUUCCAAACUAAUACUGUGCGGAUAUUAUGAGUUUGCAUUCCAGCGGGGUCAAAGUUUAGGAGUCAUGCUAGUGGAAGGGACUAAGAUUAGCCAGGGUGGGUCGGCCUAUUUUGCCAUUCCCAAUCUGCAGCAUUGCUUCUUGGUUAACAAGGUUAGAAUAUCCAUUGUGUUAGGCUGGACCCACGCUAAAGUUUCUCGGCUUGCUAGCUAUCAAGGCCAACAGCCUUUUCUGUGCCAAAACACUCAGCUCAACCCAGCCCAGACAUUUAAAUGCUUAAUAUAAUUCAUUCUUUUAUGUCUAUAAAAAUUGUACUACAAUUUAUAAAUUUAAUUAGUAGAUCUAAGUGAUUUUGCUGGUACUAAGCAGGUUCAACCUAUUCAAACCAAUUGGAGCAAGCUGAUACUUCAUCUUAGUUUCUGAAUGCUUGGGCUGAAGUAGGUUGCACGUUGUCUGUCUCUCCCUACUCUUCAUUUUCUUGGUCUUCUUUAGUGUCAGUCCUUUUGGAAAUCUGAAUGUGAAUGACAUGGUAUGGCAAGACAAAGCUUUUCACUUUUAAUUCUUUCUCACAUCAAUUAAAUGACACAGCAUUGAUUUUUCAUUUUCAUGUAGAAGACUCAAUUUGUAGUGUUGGCAACUCAAUUGUCAGCUUUUAUAAGCACCAAAUGAGGUCAAGUGUUGGACAGAUUCCAUUGAGCUUUGGCAAGGUAUAUUUAGUGACGAUGGUAAAAAUUAUUGUCCAUUUGACUAUAAGUAUCAUUUAAAAGAAAACUAUAUGUACUGAGGAGUACUUUAACACAACUUAGUAAAUCUUUGGAUUUUGGGUUUUACUUUUGCCAUUUAGCAAUUAUGAUUUGCUGAUAUUCAUAGUCAUUUGUUUGUGUUAGUCAAAUGCCUAAGUUCUUUUUCUUUCCAUGAUUCCCGAUGAUCAUGUCCACAGCUGAAAGUGUUCUGGAAAUUUGGGUCAUAGUAGAUAACAUCGUGUUAAUUAUAUAUGUCUCCCUGUUCUCUUUCUAUUUGUUGUGUCCUGGUGUCAGGAUUUUUCAAGGUUGCAUGUUCAGUAAUUGGGGAUGUUUGGCACUCGUCUAGGUGGCAUUGGCCAUGGACAUUGAGAUUGCUCAAUGUCUACAAAGUGAUUUGAGCCUGCACUGUAGACUUUGGCCCAAUUGAAUCUAGCACAAUACCAUCUGCGUGUACAGUGUACUCCUGGAGGAGAAAACACUAGUGAAUUAGUUUUAUGUUGCAUCAUGCAAAAUAGAGCAGAGGAUACCUUGACUCAUUGUGAUAUGUUAGUUGCUAAAGAUUAAAUGUUAAACUAUAAUUUAACUAAUUAUAGUAUGGAUCCCAGAAAUUUGUUGAAGAGAUACAAUUAUAUGACAUGUCAUUUCAGUGAAAUGGAAAUAAAAAUAAGGUGACCUGGUGCAUCAGGCUUUUGCCACUAUGGAUUUGGGGAGGGUCAAAUGUACGCUGUUUUACCCUAGAGAGGCUGUUUUUGUGUUUCAAACCUGAUACAUCUAGAUCAUAAUGGAUCAAUCUUACCAUUGUGCCAAAGCUCACCCUCAAGUGAAAAUAAGAAUAAGGCUAAAUCAAAAUUUUAUUGCCAAUGAAAAAUAUGAUGUGAUUAUGAUUCUCAACUUUGGAUGUUAUGCAAAAAAUUGCUGAAGAUAGACAAGGACAUGCAAUAGAAUGACUUCUGGUGGAUGAAGUGGAGAGAUGCUGCUAUGGUGUUUAGUGAUCAGCACAUGCCUUGGCUGCAAGAGAAGAUUUAAUAGAAAAUAGUAAGGCCCACAAUGUUGUCAUGUAUGAAGUUGUAAUUGAUCACGAGGGCUUAGGUAAUGAAAUGAGCUGUUAGUGAUUAGAAUAUUUACAUGAUUGUGUAGGAACAAGGAUCUCAAGAGGCUUAGAAACAUGUGCCAAUUGAGGAAAUGAUGAUAAUCAAUUGAGAUGGUGUAAUCAAAGGGAAGGGCUGGGAAGUGGAAGGAAGAUCUAAUUCUAAGCUAACAUGGAUGGCUGAUAUGAUAGAGGAUUUGUAAGAUCUGAGUAUCUCACUAGAUCCAGGAUUAAGAGAUUUAAAAUAACCAGGUCUGCAAAAUGGAAUGAGCUGUUUAUAGGUAUGUUUGACUAAUAUAUAAGAAAGGGUUUGGAAAGAGGAAUUCAAGAUCAAAAUCACUUGAACAAGAUGAAAUAUUUUUAAAAGCUUACUAAAUGCUUUGGAAAUUCAUGGAAACUUGAACCUGCACCCACUUUCUAAAUGCUAUUUUCAAGUGCUUUCACAAUAUCUACUUCCCUGCACCUUCUCCUGCAUCCACUCCUGAUUUUGGCAACUAAGCUUGGGAUGACUCUUUUUUGUUACGGUAAUGGUCCUCCUUAGGUGAUUCCCAAAUUGAGGCUUGAAAAUUUUGAUUUGCAAAAAUGUUAAUGGUUUUAAUACUUACAUAACAGUAGACUUUCAAUGCCAGAUAUAUCCCAAAGGGAACAUAUAUUUUUACACCACAUAUAUAUUUUUAGGCUUCCGAGAAGUGAACUUUUUGCCUAUGUAGAAAGACUUAUUCUGGUGUAAGAUAAAGUGUUAGUUGAUGAGAUAGAACUAAAUGUUUGAUUAUAAGUAUGGAGGAAUUUUUUGAGGACAAUGGCCUAAACCUUGUAGAAAGAUAGCAUGGUACCAAAAAAGCAGUUUCAAUGGCAAUGCAAGUGGGUAUGAAAACAAUGUCUCAUUCAAGUAUGCCAAGAGAUGCCCUUAGUUUUAUUGACUUGCUACCUUGGAUUUAUCAUGCAAAAGAAAGGAGAUAUGCAUGAAAUGUAUGUAUUAGAUGUUUUUGGUGUGUGAAAUGGAGAGGUAUUAUUUUUGGUGUGUCAUGUAGGCUAUGCAUGUGCUGAUGACUCAAGAAAAGAGUCUAUGAAACCAUAACAUGGUCCACAGCUUCAUAUGGUUUAUGAAUGAUGGUAAACAAAGAGGGGCCCAACAAACAAUCAUACUAAGAGAUAAGGGUGUUAUAUUUUAGAGAUGAGGUUAGAAACAGGUGAAUAAUAGAGAUGUAAGAGUUACACCAAGGACAAAGUGACGGUAAACUGAUUGAUAUAGAAUUUAUGCAACGAAUAACUAAAAUAGCUCAGUAGAUGUGCUUAGUUUUGUGUUUGGGUGUCAAGACAAAGGAGGGAAAAUCAUAACCUGUUUGGAAGUAGUGAGAAAUAUCUUGGAAAAGCUUGCAGUGAUAUUAUGAGAUAGCUCUUAAUAGGAAUGAUCGUUGCGCAUGGUGAAAGGGCUUCAGGAUCAUGGGUAUGAUAGCAUGCGAAAACCCUGCUGUAUGGGAUCCUACUGAAACAUUAUUGAACAAUUCCUUAGUUCUAUUUCUUUCUCCUAUUAUAUGUUUUUCAUUUUAAUAAACCUUGUAGAUUUUACACAUUUCUCACAACUUAGAUGCAAGAAGUGUUCUCGUUCAAAAGUUUUACAAAAUUGUUUUAUAAUCACCAGACACACAAAACCAGAAGGAAAAGGAGAAGAGGAAAAGGAAAAAACGGAUGGAAUUGUAUAUGAAGCAAGUUCUCAGCCUUGGUUGACAAAUACGAGCUGACAUAAAUAUGUUAAGAAAUUAACUUGAGGUAAAAUCAUAGAAUGUGUAUAAACAAACACAACUUAGUUGUUUACAGUUUUAUUAUUAUUAUUCUUCUCUAUUUUAUACUGUUAUUAGAUAUUGUUGCUUUGUAUUAUUGAACUAAUUGAAAUGUGUAAAGUCGACCAUUGUAUUUGCUCUUUCAUUAAGAUGCAUUAACAAUGUGGUUCUUUCGAUUUGCAAUUUCUGGCUUGAUUUCUAAUGGAAUCAAAAUGAUCUAUGGAUUGAUCAAGAGUUGAACUGAGUAACCUUUGAAUUUGUUAUCUCUCUACCAUUUUGACUCUUUCAAGGUUUAUUAAAUCAUAAAGGUUUGCUACCCAUGGCAUUAUCUUAAAAUACUUAACUAAUAUAGUAGGUUUCUCUACGCAGCAAUUGGCCUCUAGCUUGCAUGGCAUGCUACAUACUGUUGUCAAGGUUGACAUUGGCUAGAAAUUUGACACCAAUUUCUAGUGUAUCAGCUUCAGAGCCAAUGAUAACUCGACAUCCCUGCAUUAUUGAUGCUAAAGGGAAAUAGGCUUAAUUUUCUUUGAUCAAUGAGUAUGUGAAACAUAAAGCAGAAAUAUACAAUGAGAACUCGCCCUAGAUGUGUAUCUAGUUACAGGAAGAUUAUGGAUUUUUGUAGGUAUCAUGUAGGUGGCUCUGAGAUUUUAUUUGAUAUUAUCAAAAGUACUUGAAAAAUAAACUAUCUUAUGUCUCACCAGAGAUGGAACUAUAUAUAUUGGAUUUUGCUAUCAACGGUGAUCAUGUUUUGAGUAACUACCAUAUUUGUGAGUAUAUAAUGAUUUUGAAAGUGAUAGUUAUAGGGAGAACAAGCCAGUGUGUUUGACACGGGUGCUUAAGGAGGGUCCUUUUCAAACGGGGGAGCCAAAAAGGAAUUUUGUCUAUGGCGAUUUUGACAUGGGUACUUAAGGAGAGUCCUUUUCAACCGGAGGAGCCAAAAAAAAAAAUUCUAUGGCAAUUUAUUUUUGGUUUAUGCCUAAGCAAAGACAAAUAUUGAAACGCCUAUUUAUGGUGUUUUUUCUUUUUCCCCAAGUUUAGGAUGCUUUUCCUCAUGUUUUUGGUUAUGGUCCUUUUCUUAUGGUGUUUUUCUUUCUCCUCACGUUUAAGAUUAUUGAUUGUAAUUGCUUAAAAAACAUUCCAAACAUGCUUAUAUAAAGGCAUGAACUAUGUUAUGUUUUCAGAGAAUUUAGUUUCAAGUUUGAGUGAAUUAAGGAUUAAGCCUUUGGCUUGACAAGUUCCUUCUUUUGGGUGUUUUGUAUCUCUAGGCGUUUCUUUAGGUGGUGAGCAUAUUCUUGCUCUGUAUUUCAGGGAGAUUGUUUGUGAAUGGUGAUCACUAGAACUCUGUAUCCCUAGGGUGGAUUCCUUUGGGUGGUGAGUUUUUUUUUCCAUCAAACUCUGUAUCCCUUAGAUGGAUUUCUUUGGGUGGUAAGUUUUUAUCUAUCCAUUGUUCUUGUCCUUGAGGAUUUAGGUUUACCAUUAUUAUCAAAUUCUUGGGUGGUUUUUGUCUGCUCGUUAUUUGUCUUCCCUCCCUUUUAUUUUCCCGACAUCAGUAUUAGUUUGGAAAUACACUUUGUAAUGAAUGUUAUGCAUCAAUGAUGUUGAAUGUGAUGCUUUAUAUUUGAUAUUUGCAUCUGUGAUUUAAGUUUAUUAUCUUCCAAGUUGUGCUCAAUCAAUAUUAUAAAUAGGUUGAUUCAUAGGUGAUACCUAUAUUGGAAGACGUCUCAUGAGAACUGGGAACUCCGAAGAGAUUUCUUACAUAGCUGGUCUGUGAAGUUUGGCUAUAGAUCUCUCUUGUUUUACUACUUUCGGACAAUAGGUUUCAAUACUCUAGCUGUUAACAGAGUUCUGUAUCAUUUCAAUGCAUUAUGAAACAGUAAGCUCUGCAAUAUAUUGAAUCCAUGGCACAUGCCGGUAAGUUUUGAAACAUGGCAGUGCCGGUGCUAUAAUCAGAGCAUGUGAAAUGGAUACAUGUGAAAUGGUACAUGUAGCGGUGCCAUAAUGAGUAUUAUGUAGCAAUGUUGUUAAAUGUAAUGCUUCAAGUUUAUAUAUAAUGUUAGCAUGACUAGGGAAAAGCAAGCUCUGAAACAUGGUGAAACAGGGGAUACAAUGCAGCCACAGUAAAACAAGAACCCUUUGUGUUAAGCCCCGGUGCAGCCACAUUAACUUAUUUUACAUGCUGAAGCAAUGUAGCCACAAUGUAACAUGACCCUUAAUAUAGUGUAACAUGUGAAACCCUUGCAACAUGCUGAAACAUACUGAAAUAGUGACUGGGGAUGCAGUGAAGCCUUUGAUCUAGUUUGAUAGCAUAGUUUCAGAAUUAUGGAACUUGGAAUCUGAGCACAGUUUCAAAGCUCUGAAAUGUAGAAUCUAAGCACAAUUUCAGAGCUCUCAAAUAUGGAAGAGAUGCACAGUUUCAGAGCUAUGAAACAUUGAAACUGUGGGUCCAUUUUUUUGAGCUCUGAAACAUAGAAACUGAGCAUAGUUUCAAGCUUUGAAACAUGGAAUGUAAGCGCAGUUUCAGAAUCUGAAACAUAGAAUCUGAGCUUCAAAAUAGUUAGCUUUGAAAGAUUUCCAGUGCUCUGAAACAGUUCUAGUUAGCUUGAAACAUUGAACAUUGAUCCGAAGCAUUGAACUGAAAAUUGAACUGAUACAUGGUUACAAUGAAACAUGAGCUAGCAUUAAACUUAUAAAACACUGAACAUUAAAGCAUUAAAACAUUGACUGCACAUUGUGAACCCUCCGCUUUGCUGGUUAUGACCUAACAUGUGUCAACAAGCAAUCUGAAAUAUGUGCCAGUGAACUGCACGUUGAACCUCAAACAUGUGCUACUGAUGCUGAAACUGCAUAUUGAACUGCUGCUUAUGACAUCUAUGAAAUAUAUGCCAUUUAAGUAAACAAUCAACUGCACAUUGAACUAAACGUUGAACUUAUCAAACAUUGAACUAGCAUUGGAUGAACAUUGUAAUUGCAUUGUCUGAACAUUGAACUAACAUUGAAUAAGUGAUAUUGUCUGACCAUUGAACAUUGAACAUUGAACUAAACAUUGAAAUUACAUCCACAGCAACUAAACAUUAAAUAGUUAACACAAUGUUCCAGUUAACACAAAACACUCUUCCAACUAACAGCAAUUGUUGUAAACCUAAGAUCCACAUCAAAUAACAUCCAAAGUAGAUAUAGACCGUUCCAGCUAAAAACAAUUUUUCUAAACGUCACCAACACUGCUGCCCUGAGUUUUUGACUGAGAAGACAGUGGCCGACUAGAUCCACCAAUGUGCUUUCUCCUUCUUGCAUCAAUAUAAGCUCUUAGGGAACCCAUAGUAACCUAGGUUGCACCUUCUCCACUCAAAUGCCUCGCCUUACUUGGACCUUGUGAAAACAAUCAACGUUCAUAUCAGCUGAAUUUUAUCACACAGAUCAAUAAUGAUAUAAAUUGUACCAUAAAAAACCUCUCCCCAGUAUCUGGUGAGACAUAUAGCUUAUGUGAGGAUUCAUGUGGGCGUGUGUUUAGUUCCACAUCGGUUAUUUGCUGGGUAGAUCUUGGGUAUCUAUAUAGAAUCAAGAAACCCAAAUAAUAUCUUUCUGCUAGCCAUUUUGAGUGAGGUCCUAGGUUGUUAUAGCCUAUAACCCUCAAGUAGCUUUUUCUACCUUGGCUUCUUCCAAAUUUCAGUGGUCUUUAUCAUGCUACCGCUCAAUAGUUCUAGCAGCUGCCAAUUGCCCUGCUCUUCUCCUUACCAUCAGCUUUUCUCGCCCUCUUGUGGUGGCUCCACUGAACAUAACCUAGCAUAAGAAAAAACAUGCACUAAAUAAAAUGGAAUGUUAGAGAUGCACCAAAAUUAUUGUCAUAACCUGAUUUUUACUUGGCCUGCCUUUAAGUUUCUUUGAUGGUGGACAAAGAGACUGAUCAACUGUUGAUAAAUCACUUCUGCUGGGGCAUCCUUGCUUGUUAUGGCCCCUUUGGAAGUGUAACUGACAAGUCAUUUAUCUUCCAUGCCUGAACAGUUUGUGAGCAUUCUUGGACUCCUCAUGCGGAUCCUUCCUUCUAUUCUUCUUAGGCUUGCCUGCCAUUAUCCUCACAGGUGGAGGUAGCAUUGCCUCCGCACCUAUCCUAGGCCAUAACUUCUCCCCUUUGACUAGGGUGCUAGACUUAAAUUAAAUUUAGUUAGCAGGUCUUGUGGGGUCUGCUUCAAGUUUCGACCAAGUCGUCAACCUUGAACUCGUCUUAGGGACCUCGUCAAAGCCACUUUAGACUUGGUGUAACUUUUGGCUAUAAAAAUAUAUUUGACAGCUCAUGUGGCUAAAAAUUAGCAGGGUUACUUGUACCCCGUUGCGUAUCAUAGAACUCAAGAAUCCUAAACCACAUGAAAUCAUAAACCAUUCAUGAAUUCAGCAUAAGAUAUAAUUCGAUAUAGCUAAACCAAUCAUGCAACGUCAUCCGCAAAGUCUUCUUUUUCGCAGGUUCUUGGUUUGUGGUGCUAAAAUUGUAUUAAAAAACUUAAUUUAUCUUGACAGCCAGCUAAUUGUUUUUUGUCAUUAUUAUAAAUUUCUGAUAUCAUUUGGUUUAGAGGUCAACGAGAUGGUUUGAUGCACUUAUAUACAUAUAUGAGUCUUUAUUUUAUUCUCCCAUUGUUCUGAAAAUACUUAUACUCUUCUUCCGCAUGCCAAUAGAACUCCUAUGCUUGUUUCUGAAACCUUACAUGGGCAUGUCAUAGCAGCCAAAGUAACAAUUCGUCACAAUAAUUAGGGUAGUUAGGUAUGUGUAUCAUUCACUUAUUAUAUAAAUCAAGACUGCAAAUGCUAAUUUCUCCAGUAGACCAUUUGCCAACCCAUCUCCUCUAUUGCAAUAAAUAUCCUAGAUUUAUUCUCUUUUCCAUCAAUUAACCAUGAAUAUUACUGUAGCCUUUCUGGUCUUGAUUCUGCUUUUGAUCGAUGUACAGCCCCAUUGAGCUUCAUUUGGGCUUUUGAUCAAUGAACUUGGUAAUGGCCCUCACGUAACCUCUUGGAGCUGGAUGGGCUGUUGAUUGCUCAACCUGAUGAUUAGCCAUAUGUAGCCCUGUGAGCUUGAUUUGAGCCUUUGAGAGAUGAACUUGGUGAUAGGUUUGAAUGUAGAGAAUUUCAAUUUGUGCUUGGCUAGCCCUAGCUGAUUUGCUUCAAGCACACCUAAGAUCGGGUUGAAACCCUUCCCUGACGCCUUGGCUUGGUCCCUUCACAUUUUGUCUUGGAUCCGAUCCAUUAAAUCUCAAUUAAAAUUUCUCUUCAUCUGUCCCCAUGGAUUCAUUUAUUUAGGCCUUGAUUGUUUUCUUUCUAGCUUGAGCAUGUCUGCACUCUUCUUCAACUUCGUUGAAAUCCACUUAUUUGGCUUCACGUGAACUUGAACGCAUCUAACUUGAUUUGGUUCUGAACUACUCAAAAUCAUGUCGGAUACUUUUGAAAGGGGGAUUUAACACCUUCGUUUCAUCAGAUUUUGAAUAAAAUAUCAAACCUUUGGUCCAUCAGAUAGAUUUAAUGGAUCAAGUGGAUUUAAACAAGUUAUGGAUAUUUAAAAUGGCAGAUAUUACUGAAUCAGUCAACUGCUAUUCUAAUGAUGGUCCGCCAUAUCGGCCCAAACGGAACGGUAUAGAAUAUAUUAUACCAUACCUAUUCGAUAUCAAUAUCCUGUACAGAAGAUGUUCCAACACUCAGUAUGCCAAAAACAUCCUAUAUCCUACCAUACCGAUACAAUGCUAGUGUGACACCGGUAUAGAGUUUAGUACCGGAACUGGGAUUUCUUGGACCCUUGGAUUUCUCUACUUUUUGAUGGUCUUAAAGAUUGAAACUUAUGCAGCCUGCAAAGUGAUUAGCCAGUCAUCUAAUGGCAUUGGGUACCAGAUCCACCAUUAAUGGCUUGAUCGGAUUUCUGGAUAUAUGAUAUUAAAGCCACUUUUAUCCAUCAAAUGGACUUUAUCCAUCAUUGAUCAAAGCUCUGAUAAGAAAGCUAUGGCAGGCUGAUUCCGAGGGUGGUUUCUGAUCCAACAAAUUGGGAUUACUUGGACUGUUGGAUUUAUUUUUUUUCAUUUUUGCUAGCAUAAAAGAGCUCCUGCUCUGCUUUCAUAAGGCCCCUCCUGAUCAUUGAUCAGAUCAUUAGAUAGGAUCCUUCUAUUGGAGCUAAUUGUUAUUGUCAAAAUUGAAUGCUCAAAAUUUAGAACUCCAGAUCCUUGCCAUCUACCAUCUGAUGUUCAUCAAACUUCGGGGUGAUGCACCAGUCUCUACUGGACUUCACUGAGCUAAAUGGAUUGCCAAUCUGAUAGGAAGAGGCUUCUAUGAUCAAGAAAAAGAAGGUCCAGAUACAAAAAAGCAGACGACUGGUCCCAUGUCAUAGAACAGCCUAUGAUACCCUCCUUUUCAUGUCAGAUUUUCUUUCAUUUAUGCAACAUGACAGGCCACAAAUUUAACUUUGUAAACCUCACAUUGUAUGGUCAAGUAAAAGAGUAUAAUUAUCUGUAUACUUGAGUGAGACAACCCAAGCUCCAAAUCCAUGCAAAAAGAUGUCACAUUAGUGUUUUUUUUCCCUACUCUCCUAUUCCAGACAUUCAAAUUUAAAUGAUAAUAUGACAAAGGAGCCUUGCAUGUGUCAUUUCUGGACAAUUAUAGAAAAAAAGGUAUACCACAGGCAUGGAAUGUGCAUUUCCUUAUAUAGAGUAAAGAACAAUUGUUAACAGUCAAAAGGGCUCUCUUUGUUAAUACAGUCAUAGUAGUAAUUGGUAAUCGUCUGCGAAACGAGUAUCAGAGUCAUCUACCAGGUCAUGAAAACAGGACAAAUAACCUCGAUGUGCAAUGCAAACUUGCAACUCAAUGCCCAGCACGAGAAGAAAAGGCUCAACCAAUAAAGAGCUUCUUAGUUACAUCAAUAGCAAAUCCAGGUUUGUACUCAUCCACAAGCGUAAGCGACAAUAAUUAAUAGCUCGGUCAUUGACCUCAUCCAAAUUUGUAGUCGAAGUCUUCGCACUAGCAACCAAGUAGCACUGGAGACAUCCAGUUGGCCUAUAUCAAACAAAGCCAAGGAUGACUGAUGAUUUUUCAAUUACACCAGGAAUGACUAUAGAUUUUCAAAAUUGCAUGAAUAAAACAUGCUGAUGCCAAAUACUAACAAAGAAUAUCAUACAUGGUGCAGAAACUUUUGUGCACAUCCUCUUCAAUCCCAUGUGACCUUUUCAGCUUGCCCCUUGAAAUUUUCUUCUAUAAAAUAUAAGCAGAGAGAACAAACAAACAAACAAAUAAAUAACAGCAAAGUAUGAGAUAUGGAAUCAUCCCAGGUAAAAUAGUACAUACACUUCUGCUGGUGCUCCUUGCAUUUCACUUGCUGUUCUUUUUGAUUUGUGCUUUGAUUUCUUCUCACGCUUCUUGCUUCUGCAGUAAUAUAACCACAUAAGAUUCACCCUGAAGGAAAGGAGAAGCAGCCACGCAAAAGAAAUAAAAUAUAAUCAAUUUGCAGAGAAAACAGGAAGUACUCGUCUUGUGAGCUUGGAUCCCAACAACUCUUCAGCUUCCGAUCAAUAUGUCUCAUGUCCUUUGUGGAAGGGAUUUUGAGCUUCCCAAGCUGUACUGAUGAAAAAUUUAUGAAUGGCUUAAGAUAGACCAUCUUAUAAGGGUGAGAGAGAUAGCCUCUUACUAUCACAUUUGAGAAUUUAAAGAGUGAUAACAUUGGUUGCUUCUUUGAUGGACAAAGAUGAAAAAACAAGGAAACAGUUCAGAAUUCCAAAGGUGCAGCUGCUGAAUACUGAAAGGUUGAAAAGAAUCACAUAAUCACCUACAAGUGACAGGACAGGACAAGACACACAACAUAGUGUUGUGAAAUGGAAGUCUACAAGACAUACCCAUAUCAAACACACAAAGAUUAUAUAAUGGUGAAUUCGGGAACUUGUGUGACUGACAUGUGGCACUAAUACAAUGAAAAAAGAAAUUUCUUACUACAAAAAAGAAAUGGUAAUGAUUUUAAAUGAGAAGUUGACUAAGGACCCCAAUCAAAAGCCAGUUGCGAUACACUGCCAAUCCCUGAUUUUUUUUCCCCAUCAAGCAUUAAGGCCAUAUAAAUGUAAGACCGAGAUUUGCUGGUUGCACGAAGUACGGACAUUGUUGACUUUUAGUUCAGAAGGGAUCUAGACACAUGACCUAACCAAUGAUUAAAAAGCAUGAUCACUAGAGAUGUCAAGACAGUGAUGCCAGGAAUCUUCAUCUGGGGCUUUCUCAAGGAGUCAUCACCUUGAAGUAGAAUGUGUUAUUACUUCCAUAUGCCAGAGGCUUGACCAUGAAAAAGUCGAUAAAUUCUCUAAGAAUGUCAUUAAAUUCUGAAUUCAAUUCAUGAUCUGCCACAAAUACUUCAAAUUCAACUUAAAAUCAACCCUAGAAGGGUUUUCUCGCCAAGAAUCACCUUGAAGUAGAAUCAUGAUUUCAAGUGCCAGCGGUGGCGGACUGCACCCACUGGCACAUACCGAGCUGGGCCAAUACCAGUAUAUGGCACAAGUAGAUGUCAACUGGAUCCAAUUUUCAGAAUAUGUUAAUUAGAAAGGAUUUCUUUAAAAAAAAAUGCUUGAGCUUAUAGAAAGGCACAUCUGCUGAUACUGCAUGGCACAACAUGUCCUGUGCCAGUGACUGGCACCAAUACUGGAAUUGAUGCCUAAAUCUUUUGAGUAAAAAAUGCAUUAUUACAUUCAACAUACAGAGGUUUAAUCAAGAAAACUUCUAAGCAUUUCAUUGAAUUCUGAAUUCAACUCAUGACUUGCCACAAAGACCUCAACGCAACCUUAAACUCAAUCCAAAUAAAAUUAAUACUUUCCUGACCUAACAUAUUAUCGAACUAAGACUUCUUUAGACAUUAAUGCUCAAAAUAGGACUAAGUUCACACAAUAUAGAACUCCUCAUCUCGUCUUAGACUCGCAUAACAAUUAAAAAUGCCACAUGACUUAAAAUAUAUUUCAUGGAGAACCCAACAAGAUUCUAAAUAGAAUUCUAAAGAUACAUCUCAACAAUUGCAACAAAUACCAAAUACCUAAUCAUAUCCUUAGACUAUUAGUGUCCCAAAUUCAUUUUCCUCAAUUGCAUAGUUAAGUCAUUAUAUGACCAGGCUUCUUAAUUGGAAGAAUUAUGGUUAGUUUUCCUUCAUCUAGCAUGUGGUGUGAACACUACAAAAGAGAGUCCUUUACAUGGCAUUAUGAUCACCAUCAGAUCUAACCCGUUGUAUCUUUAAUCCAAAAGGGAGAUCUAUUGUUGACACAGAGUUCUGCUUUUGGUGUCUUGAACCUUCAUACUAGAUGGUGUGAAAGAAAUGAGGAUGCAUCCUCUAGUUUGGAAUUGCUCCUUAGCAGGAAGAGCUAGAGAAUGCAGGUUGGUCAAUAAAUAAUUCCUUCCCAAGUUGGCUCCAAAAUAAUCAUAUCUUCAUGAAAGAUUUUGUCUUUUAAAGAGUAGAUUUUCUGAUCCUGACCAGCAGCACCAUUUGUUAUCAGUCCAAUCAUGACAUAUUUUGGUGCAGAUGAAAUUAAAUAUGGCCCACUUGCCUGAACAAAUCCAAUUCAAACAUUCCCCCCCUCCUUUCAAACCUGGAAGAUUCAAGGAUAUGGAAGAAAUAGUUGGACAAUCAUAAACUAGAAAACAUUAAAAGGUAAUAUUCACUUCAUCUUACAUACAAUUCACAAUAAUCACUUUUAAUUUCACAACUAUGUCAGAGGAGGACUGAAAAUAGUCAAUCGCUAAUGCUUCAUAGACCAUAAAAAGUGUUUAUCAGUAUAAGUGAUAAAAUACAAAAUUGUUCAUUUGCUAUUCAAUGCAUUUCUAUCAAGAAUGACUACCAAGCAUAACAAACUACUCGUUUUCUUUUAAAUGCUAUAAGAAAAAUAAAAGUCUAUCGUUAUAUACCAAUACUAGUUUAAUCUAAAUAUAUUCAUCAGAACUAAAUAGGCCAAGCUGAAAAGAAACAUGACAUUUAUUGCCUCUAUCCUCAAGACAUAAAAACCAUGAAAUCUCAUUCUUAAGUAUGGUGGGACCUGUUGGACCAGUUUUGAUUCAUGGUUGGAAUAAUUCAUUUCCACCAAUUUUUGAUAUCCAUGAUCUAGGAAUUUGAUAUGUCUGUAGAGUGUUGGAAUGUCUAACUCAUAUUGACUUGCCAAUAUGUAUCAACAAGGGUUGUCCAAGAUGAAUGCAAGUGUGCUGAUAAGGAGCAACCAUGUUAUAUUCUUUUGGGAGGUUGGAAAGGAAGAGAGAUAUCAUUUCAAACAAAUUUGUUUAAUUAGAGGGAACUCCAGUCGCCUCAAGCAAUAAUGAUGUAGAGAUCAAGGAAAUUUCUGGUAUUUGGUAAGAAUAAGAAUGAAGCUUUCCUUGAAAAUAAUUUAGUCUCCAGAAGCAAAAACUUCAUGUAGGAAGUCGUUUCCAAUAUAAUUAAACCAUCCAAAUAGUCAUACCAGGUCUGAGAAAAGUUAAAGUAAACUUUCAACAGAAUUUUGGAAUACAACAGCACAAAAUUAGAACAGAAAAGUUUCUCUUCUGAUAAGUAAUAUUGCUAAUAGGGACUUUAAUUAGAGUUUAAGUAGCCUUCACUAUUUGGUUUUCAUAUAGUUUCUCCCGAAAGUAACUUAAACUACAAUAAGAAAACUUCAAGUGAGGAGUCCUUGUUUCUUUUAUAAUGAGCUCUCCCAACUACUAUACCAGUUGAUAGAAAAAUUAAUAAAAUAUUAUUCGCAACAAAGAUAGCUCAACCUAACAAUAACAAGACAAUUCAAAUAUAGAGAAUUCUUGAUUGCAAUAGCAGUAAUUUUUGUUAAAGAACUUCCUCUUGUAACCCCAGCGGAAAGUUUAGUUAUAUCAUAAUGUACGUCUACGAGCAUUGCAUGAUCAGGCAAAGCAUUAUGUAUAUGAUAGGGGAAUAAAAUUCAACCACCCAAAAAAUAAUAAAGGACAGGCAAAAUCUGACAUAUUAAGGCCUUGUUUGGGAAUGCUUUUGAGAGCUAGAAAGUAUUUUUUGGAGGGUGAAGAGCACUUUCAGGCAAUAUGGUGGUGUUUGAUAAUAAAAAAAAAUCAGAAGAGCUUUCUCGUUCUCCAAAAAGCUAAAAAACAUCUCUUUGGAAGAAGCUCCAUUUUUUGGGCUUUUCCCCAAAAGCUCUACUAGGUUGAGGUCUGGGAAGCUAUUUUUGAUUUAAUGAAAAUUCCCUAGUGACCAAAAUACCCAUAAUAAUGUAUUAUAUUGUAUUGUAUCAUAUAAUAUUAUAUUACAUUAUAUUAUAUAAUUAUAGUAAUAUAAUAAUAUAUUACUAUAUAUUCUAUUAUAUCAUAUUAUAUUAUAUUAUUAUACUAUACAAUAUCAUAUUACAUUAUAACACUAUGUUAUACUAUGUUAUACUAUGCAAUAAUGUUUUAAUAUAUAAUAAUACAUUACUAUACUAUAUUAUAUUAUAUCAUAUCAUAUUAUAUGAUUUUACUAUACUAUACAAUAUUAUAUUGCAUUAUAAUAUUAUACUAUAAUAAUAUAUUAAUAUAUAAUAAUAUAUAAUAUUACAUUAUAUUGCACUAUACAAAAUUAUGCAAGAUCCUUUAUUGUCAUUUUGUUUCAGUUUGGUUUCCAAACAAAGGUUAAAAUACCAAAGCACUUUAGAAAUAUAGUUAUUAUAUAGCAAAUAGCUUUUUGUUAAAACUCCUGCUAGCAGAAGCUCUACUUCCAAAAGCUCGAUUACCAACAACAAUCUUUCUUCAACCAAAAGAUCCUAGGGAUCCCAAAAUCAAUCGAAGCGUCCUUCCCAAUGUUACCUAGAUAUUUGCAACAAGUGCCGGUGUGUAAGCGCCCCUAAGUGUUGGACACGACAAUCUCCAAAAGUCUAGAUUUAGGAACAUGCCAUGUGUGUGUGUCAUGCAGCAUAGGGUGCAGCCAAUAGGUACUAUGACUAGCUAGACUAUGGCACGUAUAGCAAGAGCCAGUGGAUUUGCCAGAUUUUUUUAUGAAUUUUCCAUCAGGGACGGUACUAAAUUUUAGCUAGGUUUCCAUGUUGUGGUAGAAUAACUCUAGCAUGUUUUUUUAUUGUUGAGUCAUAUUUCGAGUAUAAUUUUGUAUCAAUUUAAUACCCAAUUAGGGUUAGGGGAUCAUAUCCUAUAAAUAUGUGUCUAAUGUAUUGUAAAGUUAGAGGAUCAUACCUAUAAAUGUCUCAUACAACCGUCCCAAACUGUCCGAUUCGGAGCGUCCUGAGCCGUAGGAGCCGCCGUGCGGAGGGAGCCAUGGAAGAGGGGCUCCCUUAAAAAUUAAAUGAAGUCAGCAAUUGGUUCGAAAUAUGGGCCUGGAGGGAGCCUUUCUUCCACGGCUUCUCGAUGACUCUCCGGCCUCUGCCUCCUCUAUGCGGCGGCUCUCCGACCCUCUGCUGGCUCUCCGCCGACCUCCCUCGACCUCCCCCUUCUCUCUUUCUUUUUCUCUUGUUUUUCCUCUCCCUCGCCUCUUCUACUAUGUCGGUACGGUCCUAGCACGGCACAAUACAGGCCCAUACCGACUCGUCCCACCGGGCAACCGGUAUGAUGUCUGGUACUGGUUCCGCCGACCUUGGUCUCAUGGCUUUUGACCAAGAUCCGUCGUACCGGAUCCGGUAGGCGUACCAGUCGCCAACUGGACCGGUACGGUUCCGGUUCGUACCGGAACCGAACGAUACGAACCGGCUAGCUCUUCCCCGCCAGAGCCAAAGAAGAAAAAGAGAACGAGAGAGAGCACGAGGAAGAGAGGGAAGGAGGAGACCUGUGGCCGCCAUCGGAGAGCUGCAGAGGGAUGGCGGAGGCUGGGGGCGGCGGAGCCCGAUGGGGGGCGGGAGAACCCGCGGGGGCGCGGCGGAGGCCGAGGCUGCAGGUUUUUAAUUUGGGGGUUUAAAGUGAAGUCGGCAAAUCCGUUGCCGACUUCACUUAAAAAUCUCCAAAUUUGGGCCUUGGGGCAUCAAUUUUAUUUCUUGUUUUCUAAUUUUAAAAACAAAAACAUGAAAACCAAGACAAAAACAUAUUUGGUUCUAUUGCUUCUAUUUUUUAAUUCUCAAAAGCUAUUUUUCUUAUUUCUAGAAAAAUGAAAAUCUCCCAUAUUGUCAAUAUUUUUAAAAAUCAAAAACUCAUACUUUUUGCUACCACCGUCGACGCCACCGCCACCAACAUUACCAUAGCCUUCACCAUUGUCAUUGCUGAAGUCACCUCCGCCAUCGCUACCAUCACCACCAUUGCUACCCCCACCCCUUGUCAUCACUACCACUAUUACAGCUGCCUUCGCCACACUACUGCCACCUCUGCCACACUACUGCCACCUCUGCCACACUACAGCUGCCGCCCCACACCAACACCACCACAAGCUUCACUGUCACAUACGCCAUACAACCACCACUCCCCACCAACACCACACCACAACUAUCAUCACCUCCCUACUGCUACUACAGUUCGCCGCCAUUGCCAUGUUUAUAUUUUUUAAAAUAAUUAACUAUAACAAACAUGUUUGUAUUUUAAAAAUUAAAAAAAUAAAAGCAUAAUUUCUAUUUUUAUUUUAAAUAUAAAUAAAAAAUGAAAAUCAUGCCAAAUGGCAACAUAGAAUUAUAUUUAAAAAUAAAUUAAUGGAAUAGUCACGUUUAAUUUACUUUAUAGGUUUUAAAGAUAUUUGGAGAUAAUCAAAAUGAUAACUAAUUGUGAUACAUUUAUAUUUAAAAUAUAACAACAUUUUGCUUCAAGUGUUCAUCUAACAAUUAUAAUUUUACAUUGGAAUAUAAUGAUACAUUGCUUAAAAUGUCCAUAUAAUGUAGUAUUUUUAAAAAAAUAUAAAGACACUUUGCUGAAAGUGUCAAACACUUAAAACUAAGAGUCCCCUGCAUGACAUUCAGAAAAAAAGUCAAGUGUCGGACACCUUUGCUGAUGUCAGCAAGACACUUCAAAGUGGAGUGUCCAGCAUUGUCUUGUUGUCUCCUGUGGUCUGCCCAUAUUCAAGUGUCCAAAAGUGUCAACACUUUCCAACGGCUCAAAAAUGAAGUGUCUAGGUAGAGUGUCUAGGUAGCGUAUCUCUUUCCCUCUAAACUCUCACCUUAAUAUUAUUAGACAUACUACAAAUAUCUUCUUACCAAGCUUCAAAACUCAUCAAAUGUAUAUAUUGUGGCCACAACACUUUCCAACGGCUCAAAAAUGAAGUGUCUAGGUAGUGUAUCUCUUUCCCUCUAAACUCUCACCUUAAUAUUAUUAGACACAUAUACUACAAAUAUCUUCUUACCAAGCUUCAAAACUCAUCAAAUGUAUAUAUUGUGUCAUUCUACAAGUAUAUCCACAACUUAUUAAGGAGUCUGUCCAAAGCCGCCAAGCCCAAUAAUCUUUUUUCUUUCAUUGCCAUGGUUGAAAAUGGUGUUCCUUGUUCUUACAAAUGCAUUGUAAUAGUUAGCCAUGAGAAGGGAUGCAUCAAGAUGGCAACCACAAAGAAUAUAACUAAUCUGGUCAACCAUAUAACGAUCUUAAAGUCAACACAAUAAACUAACUUCAUUUUCUUCAUCAUCUCCCAGAUAUAGAGAUUGAUGGCAUAGGUUGUUGAUACUGCACAUUCUGUUUUGCAAGCUAAUAUAAGUUUCAUGUAUUAUUUCAAUCUUAUUUGAUUAUACACUACUUGCAUCAACUCUUUUAAGACCCCUCACAUGUUGAAUAUGAUCAUAUUCAUCAAUUUUGACUUUUCCGUUCUACUAACUUAUUCCUUUACCAUCUUUUAGAUCAUGUGCUUAUAUUUGUAUCACUUGCACAUUUAUAUUAAUACAUUGGAUGUAUUGUUUUAGAUGUACGCCUUAGUCCCAACUAUUCGAUCAAAAUAUUUUAAUUAUGCUUAGUUUGCCAUACUUGUCAAAACAAAUCAAAUGAAUUGAAUUCUCUGCAACAAGCCAAUUGCCAGAAGACUUGCCAUGUAAGAACAAAAUCUGCUGCAUCUAUUCGACAGGACAACCCCUAUAUCUAUUUUUUAUCAUGUGAGUACCUCUGGAUUCCAAUGUCUAGUGUAACAUUUGCCCACAUUUAGGUUCUCAAGAAAACUAGGCAGCAAAACUUAUAGUUGAUCUGUUUUGCAUCCACUCCUUCGUUUUUCCCCCAUCAAAAAAUAACAAUAAUAAUCUUGCUCCCUGUAAGUAUAAAAUAUAAAAAAAUUGAAAUCAGUUAAUUCAUGUAUCAUAUUAUGAUGUUGUAGUGCUCAUCCUAGCUCUCUUCUGUCAAAGUGGAACAUUUCAUCUCCUCAUGUUUAAAAAGAAAGGAAAACAAAUUUCUGUAAAAUCAGUUAAACGUCAUGCCUAAUAGUACAAACAUUCAUGAAAGCAAAGUACCAUUGACAAAAGACAGCAGUCAAGUUGAGCUAAUAAAUCACAAAACUGCAGCAACUCAGACAACAAGAUCAACUUCUAAAUCCAUAAAAAUUACCAUAAAAUCAAUGGUCUUCAUCGAUUCAAUAAGCUGUGAUAUAGAGUGGCUAGAACGUUGCCUAGAAAAUAUGCUUUCCAAGUAUCUGCAGUUGUUUAUACAAGUCAUAUAAGAUGGGGUUAAUAAGUCAGAGAUAAGGCAAAAGCAUGUUUUGCUGUAUGAAAAUGACAAAUGACAAAUAUUUUUUGCAAGAGAUUUGCCAGGAAAAGGUUAAAACCUUUCAAAAUCGAGAACUCUGUGUACCUCAUUUGACCUGCGCAAAGCAGCCAAAGCUAACUGCACAAAUUAAACAAAUGACACAUAGCAUUAAGAUACAAAAUAUGAUCAUGGAAGUAAAGUCAAUUAUAUCUUAAAUAUCUUAACAUAUUUUUGUUGCUCAGAAAAAUUUAUAUUUAAAAACACUUAAUGAACAUUCAUGGGCAUUUGUUUCUGACUUAAUUAUCAUUUUAUAAAUUAAAAAGGAAGCAAUUGAGAACUUAACCCAUUUGGCAAAUUUUGGCAGAAAAAAAAAAUCAUUAUUCCACUAAGAAGUUAUUCUAAUGAUUUUGAUGGAUUAAAUUAUUUUACUUAGGAAGACAAUAAAUGAGUUCUGAACAUGCUGAUGCACUUUAUCAGAUUUCCUAUCGAUCAACUGCUGCAACUUUAGCUAGACAUGUUGUCAUUUAUAUCAUUAUUUCAAACAGCUAUAGUUGACAAUUAUUUGAUACAAAUGAGGUCAUAUAAUUUUAUAAUUCUUAUCAAUUUUCAGAAAUCCCAAGCAGUAGAAUGACAGACAAAGAAUCAAGAAAUCAAUGCCAUCAAAUUCAUAUAUAAAAUGUCUGAGGUGUUUCACAAAUUGUCAAUUUAUCUGUCAUAUACUUAUCGCUCUGGUACCUCAGUCCAUUUCAAAUUUGUUCUGGACUAAAACACAGAUUUUAAUACAAAUAAAUAAAGCUGCCAUCUUUUGAAAUGUAAAAAUGAAUUUAUCAAGAAUGAAUCUGGAAUAGAAUGAAUACCUGCCCAGGAGCAUAGAGAAGAGGUGCAUCAGUCAGCAUUAUCUUGUCUACCUCUAACUUAGCAGUUCCCCGCAAAUCCUAUGAAGGCAAUUAAGUGAAAUAAAAGAAAAAUUAGAAAGAAAUUAGGAAUAUUUGUAUAUGCAUUGAAAGUUACGUUAAGGUAUGGCCUGUGGAAUAUUGCUUUAAUAAUUGGACAAUAACCAUUUAGUUUUUUUCUUUUCGUAUUAAUCUAGCAAAUUAACCCUCUCUGGGUCCUCUACCACCUUUCAUUCAAUAAAGCCCAAAUGCAUUCCCUGUAUCCUUCCAUAAUCUUCCAUUAAGUGCCUGAGUUAACAGCACAGACUUGAACACAAAGUCAAAUUUCUUCUUCAAGAUUUGUUGCUUGUUUUAAUUUCUGUUCCACCACCUUCUUUAUAUCUUCACCAUGAAGCUCAGUAGCCUUGAUCUACAUUAAGUAACUGGGCAGCAAAAAAGUACAAAAAAGGAAGAACGAUGGAGUAUGAGAAUGGCACAAUGUGUGGCACCAUCAUUACAAAUGGACAAAUGAGGGUAACGAGGUUAAUAGGGUCAAGAAUUUUGAUGGAAGUAAGAAUAGAUUCAUUCAGUUUAGAAACAUUAUUUUUCGGAAUUCUGAGUUUUAGAAUGUUGGAGGUGGAAAUCAAGUUCAGUGUUAGAAAAAAUGUGCGUAUUUAUGCAAACACCACCAUGUUUACAUUGGGAAAUAUUGGAAUUGAUGAUGGAAAUGGUCAAUCAGUUGGAAAGAUCUAUUAUCCAUGUGCAAAAUGGCUGAUAUGAUCAGUCUAGACGUUUGAGUAACAGAAUAUUUAUCUAUAACUAAGCAGAAAAAAUGAUUAUUAGGGGAAAAAAGCAACAAGAACCUGGAAUUUUUCUUGCUCUUCAUUCCUUACUUGGCAGAACUCCUUAACAACAAAAACAAAGAAUCGCCAUAAGUAUUCACCAUAGCAAAAUGAAAUGUCAUAUUCAUAUCAACUUCUGACCAGAAUAUAAUGUGAUGUCUUACAAAAAUCUAUAAAUAUAGUCAGGUUUAGAUUACCUCCAUGUCCUCGACAAAGCCUUCAACGGAUCGAUAUGGAGCAUAAACAAUUAGAUCAAACCCCAAACUCUGAAGAGAUUGGAGUAUUAAAACAAAAAGGAAACUAUUAGCAAAAGAUAAUAAUAACAAAUGCAAAACAAGGAUGAUGAAGCGAAGGAAUCAUAUCUGCACCUGAUAAACAAUCAUCUCAUUAUUGAGAAUCAUCUGAUGGUCUUGUUGAAUUCCCUUACCAAGUUCCUCAGCAGAUACAUGAUUUUCUUCUACUUUGCAGGAGGCAUAUAUGCAAGUUAGCCUGUAGUCACAGGAAAAUAACUCAUCAUACUAACCUGCAGAUUAGUACAUAGUGGAAAGAUAGGGAGGCUAGGUCAAGAAGGCACUUGAGGCACAACUGAAGAUAGUAAGUCACAUACUUAUCAUGUGUGGCCAGGAAAAAUUUCCACAUGUAUGGCAGAAGGUACAGAUUUUCAGUUUUGACCAGUUCCGACCAGAACUAACCGAAACUGAUGGUUUUUAAUCUUUUCUUUUUAACAAGUAUUACGUUCAAUGUUCUCUAAUGCUUUCUAAAACUUGUUAAUAUUAUUCAAUGGCACAUUUAUCUAAGAUUCUAAUGAUCUCAUUUAUGUGAUUUUUGGCUAAGCUUCGUCAUUAUAGUUGACUAGAUGCAAUCUUGAUGUGUCUUUACUCUUUUUUAUUCACAAAGAAUUAGCUGAUCUUAUAAUUCCUAUUUUUUUUAUAACUUAGAUCAGUUUUUUUCUUCUUUUAGAAUAACGUAAUAUCUUUUAAAAAAAUAUAUAUUGAAAUAAAAUGAUGUAUUUUUGCUCAAAUGGACUGUUAAUAUAUGGAAUAUAAUGAAAUGUAUUCAACUUCUUAUUUGUGCUUAAAUGAGUUAUUAAAAUGGAAUAGAAGAAAAUAUGCUCGGAAGAAAGUUUAAUCCAAUGCAAAAAUUAGAGAAAAUAUUGAUAAUUAUAAAAAUACAAAUAAUGAAAAGUGUAUAAAAAUUUUAGAAGUUAGAUAAAAGUGCAGAAAAAUUAUAUAAAUUUGAGGGAAAUGUGAAAUGGCUUGGCCUAAAAUAUACAAAUUAUAAUCCUGCAUCAUUACUCAAAACACAUUAAAAUGAUAUGGAUGAAUUUUUAUUAGUCUUUACUAGAUUUUUCUGUUUUUUGGACUUUUUCUGUCUUGUUUACCAAAACUUUGAAACUUUGAGCAAAAUUGCCAAAAUUAACAAAAUUGCUGAAACAGAAACUCCACCUAGAGGACUGAAUAUCAAGCAUUAGCAAUUCAAGCAUCCUCGGUAUGUGAAGUCCUUCGUCUUCAUGUUUCAUGUUUUCAUUUCCUUUCAAACAAGUCUCCAUGUCAAGAACAUGUUUCCAUAUGGAUUAUUUAGACAAAGGCUACAACCAGAUACAUGUUUUAGGAUAAAAACCAGCUUGUGUAGUAAGUGCCAUGCCUUACAUUAUGUGUUUCGGGUGAUGCUCCAUCACCGACCACUGCAAAUAAAACCUUUUGAAGUAUAUUAUUGCUGUUGCCUGCACAAUAUCAACAGAAUAGUCAAGAAGCUUCAUUGGUGAAGCCAAAUAUGAGACCUUACCUAUAGAAAUUAGAAAAGAAGGCUAGCUACCUGAAUUUUAUGAGGAAAUUUAAAUGCUGCACAGACUUCUUGAAUCUUUUGUUCAUAAAAUACCUGCAUAAGCUGCUCCUCAUCACAAUUAAGAGGCUUAGGAACAGAUCGCUCAGCUGUGGUAACACAACAAAGGAAUUUCAAUAGACUCAAUAUAAGUAGAGUUAAAGAAGGAUAACAGAUAAUGGGAUUUAGAUGACAGAAAAUGCUAUAGUUAGACAUUGAUCAUGAGAAUUUGAGAAAUUGGAUAGAGUUUCAUAUGCAAUGGACAGAUAUUCAGUAAGCACAACUAGAAGAAAGAGUAAUUACCAUUAUCCUUUUGGUCAAGUACAGGUUCUGGGUAUGACAGUGACCCAUCAACAUCAACUUCCAAACGUGUGAUCCCAUACUUCAGAAAGGAUUAGGCAAUUUAGAUCAAUAAGGUUAAGAAAAAAACAAAUUCAUGAUUAAGAUGUUAUGAUGAAGUAGAUAAUCAUGGUUGUGCUUCUAAUUGGAACAAACAGUGACAUCCAACCAGGAAGAGAAUCCAGCUAUGGCUCUCUUAUUAAGCAAAAGCAUUAUAUUUUAAACAUUAAAUCAAAAGGCCAUGCCAGAAAGAAAAAUCAAGAAUGGCAAGAGCAGGAUCAAAAUGCACCUGUUCAAGCAUUUUUAUAGCUCUUUGAUUUGCAGCCUGAUGCUUCUCCAACUGCAACAGAAAUUACAGUUACUUUAUAAAGCAAAAGAAUCCAAAAAUCAGAAAAAAAAUUUAGGAUGAAAACGAAAUUUGGGAAUAUUCUCAUCCCGUCUUCCCCAUCUGCAAGACAACUAAAACCCAUCAAAUAAUCACCAGCUCAAUCGCGAUAUGAUCAACUUUUGGUAUAGGAAUCCACUCAAAGGACCAAUUUUUCUGUAAAAUUUCAAAAGAGAGAAGCUAAUCCGAUCGAAAAGAUCAAAACUUUUUUGGAGUAUUUUGAAUUUUACCGCAGGGAAUGAUCGUCAGGGAGGAAUUAAUUUAUAAAAAAUACUCACAAACAGAGAGAGAAACAACAAGUGAUGUGGUACAGUGGCAUUACCAGUUCCUGCGGGGUAGAAAUCCAUUUCGCGCGAUGAGUAGAAGUCUGGAAAUCUGCCAUUGAUGUUUAAACCGAGGAAACCGAUUCGGUUGGCUCUCGCUAGGGCUGUGGGAGAUGGUGGCGAUCGUCUAAAACGAAGCAAGAAAGAGGAGGCCGACGUGAACCGCUCGGGCCAGAGGACGAAGGCGUUGGCUUGGAGAGGGCUGAGCACUAAUAAGCCCUGGGCGUCGCCAUUGAAACGUGACAAGAAAAGGAGAAGGGUUGGUUUGGGGGGAGGGGGAAAGCUUGGUAUGGCGUCUUAGGGCUCUCAAACUCAAGUUCAGCUCCAGAAAAGCUUUAAUCAACGAAAGUUCGAAAUUAAUUUCAACCCUUGAUAAAAACUGACCAACAUUCAUCAGGCUUGGCUUGAUAAGACUUGGAUAUAUUUUUAAAAUUUAUUGAUAUAUUUUAUUUAUUAUUGGAAUAAAUUAGAUAUUAAUACUAGCUUGAAAGCAAGUUAUAAUUCAAGUUCGAACCCAGAAUGAUUCUAGCUUGAAUUGAUUCAAGCUCAAUUUAAAAUCUUCAAACAGAACAAUUGGAUUUGUUUCAAUCUAAAAUUAAAUUUGAAUUGACCUCAAAGUAAUGAUAAAUAAGUAAAGUUUGAUUUGACAUUUCAAACUCAAAAUUAAUUUCAAACUAAACUUGGUUAUACUCAAGCUCGAUUAAGCUUUCAGUUGUUGCACAUUACCCCCCAGGAAACUAUGAAAUAAAUUGAAGGUGCUUACAACCCUCUUGAUAUUGGAGAGUAAAUGAGCCAUGCAUAAAUGAGAAGGUCUACUUAAGCUCGACCUAGUAUUCUAGUAGGUCGCCUUGAGCUUGGCUCAAGCUGUUAAGGUUGAACUCAACCUUUGUCAUAUAAAAUCGAAUUAGCUCUAGCUAUGAUUAGUAUUGGCUCAAUUAAGUGGUGGUGGUGUUGUUGGGGGAGACUGGUGGCAAAGCCAAAUUUGACAUGGACCAAGGGGCCUAGCUAGUGCCAAUGUACUUGUUGAUGGUAUAUCGAGAGGCAAUGAGCUAAGUAGAAAAAGAGAGAUUUGACAUAAAGGACCCAACAUUGAUGAAGAGUCAACUAAUUCUAAACAUGUGACUCACAACAUACUUAAGAAAAAUAAUAGAAAUCAUGGUUAAAAUGUUAUGAUGAAGCACAUUAGCAUUGUCGUGCCUUUAACUAGUACAAAAACAGUAACUAAACCCUCAGGAAGAGAAAAUCAAAAUGUAAGCUUCUAAUGAAGAAUAAGAACUCUUUAGAUUGUUGUCCCUAAUGCGUCAUAUAGAUAGCCCUUUGCUAAGUAAUAGGUCGCCCUCUUUUUUUUUUUGAUCUAAAAGCAUGGUAAGAUCAGCAAAUAGGAACCAAAUAGAGCCUUUGUUAGAGCCUAAAAAUCCAUUCACCUCCUCUACCCCACCCCUCUUGAUCCCAACCUUCCUCUCCUCCUAUCUCCCUUCCAUACCCAAGAUUGGCUCCAAAUAAGCCCAUACCAUCUCCACAUUAACAUGUCGAGCAAGUAAUCCAUCCCUCUUCUCUUCUCUCUCCUAGGCGAGCAUACUCUCUCCUAAAAGAGUAACACCGGAGAAGUUCAAUGCUUGACAUACUUUUGUAGGUCUGUUUUUAUCUAGGCAUCUAUAUUUUUUUUUAAAAGAAAUGGGAAGGGAAGGAAGGGACAAGCCCACUCCCGUGUAGCAGCCCCCACUGGGCCCCCACCCCGCCAGGAGAAUGUUCGAUGCAGGCAAAAAUGACCGUAUGUUGGGCACCCCGACCGAUUUUACUCAUACCCUCCCCACCCGUGGGCCUGGCUCGAUUAUCCCUCUGGGCUCCGGCACGAAUACCAUGUGUGAGUACGUCACACCUGGCACCACCAAGGCUACCAACAUACGCCUUUCCAAAUUCCAUAUCCGAGCAGGGAACAUCCGGUCUCCACAAUUUAAUCGAUGCCCGUGCGUUUCGAACUUGGAACUACUUAGUUGGAAGUAAGGCCACGCUCCCACCAGGCUACCACCUCAGUGGUUCUAAGCAUCUAUGUUCAAGAAAAUAUUUUGGCAAACAUUUAGCAAGGACUAUUGAUGUGGUGUUGAUGCAAUGGAAACGUCAACAAGUACUUGGCAAUGAUGUAGCACAAAAAGCUGACAUAGCCAAAUGAUGUGGCACUGUUGAGUGGACCGAACUAAGCUAAAUAGGUCAACAAGUCAGAUUAGGAUUAGAUCCAAAUCCAAAGGUUAGAUCAAAUCAAUAGAUCAGAUUUGAUGGUUUGAACCUGGAUCCAUGGGUCUUUCUACCAGGUCUGGGUCGGAUCUAGAUUAGACCCAGAUCUAGUUUGAACCUGAAGGAUGACACCCUGAGCAUGAGGGCAGCAGGAGAUGACACCCUGAGAGAAGGCGUCCGAAGGAUAAUGAUGCUCGAAGAUGAAGAUGCCACCAAAGAGGAGAAGGCCUCGGCCUGGGUGGUGAAAUAGAGGAGUCGGCAGAGGUGAAGCAGGGGAGGCCGGUCAAAACGAGCUGUGAUGGUCUGGAGAGUCCAACACACCAUUGUAGAAGAUUGGUGACGGAGGUCGAUGAGGUGAAGAAUCAUCAGUGAGAGUAAAGGACAAGGGCGACGAGGCGGCCGAUGAUUGCAGAGGGGUAGCCGAGACUCAAGAUAGCUACGGAAGGGGAGAGGAAGCUAUCGUUGUAGGAGAAAAGGGAGACAAAGGAAUCGAAGGCAUAAAUCUAGCCAUCGAUCGUAAUAGGGAGCGGCUCCGGCAUCAAGCUCAUGGCAGGCAGCCUCCUUGCAGAUGUUCCCGUUUGCCAGGGUAGCGAGCUCGUGGAGCAGGAUGGCAACGUGGGCGAGAGCGAGAGGGCUCCAACAGAAGGGUGGCGGCCACUGGUGGUUUGGAUGGAGAUUGGCGGGGGUGGUCGUGAAGAGGGGAAUCGUCCCCUUUUUUUCUCUAUUUUUUCCUUUCUUUUUUUCCUCGCAGUACUGCAAUAUAACAGGGAUUUCUUUUUCUCCAUCCUUUUUUGGUGAUGGUGUGGACGACCAUGAAUUUUAGAGUGGUGCUGAUGUGCUACGGUAAUGGGGGGUGGAUCAAGGUUUGCUCGGAUACCAAAUUGAUGCAGGAUAGAAGGAGGAGGAAAAAAAAAAAGGAGGAGAAGGACGUAAAAAAAAAAGAAGGCAACUCUAUAUUCUCUUAUCUUAAAUGCCAAUAAUACAAACUUAUGUUGCCAAUUACAUAGCAAUAGAUUUAUAUAAAUCUAAAACCCUACUAAAAAUUUACAUAAAAAUAGAAUACUAUAGUCCUUAUAAAAUUAUAGCCCUAGAGUCUACAUAAAAAAUAAAAUUCUCUAAUUCCCAAAUAAAAUAAAAUUAUCUUAAAUAAAAUGUAAAUUUCUAAUUUCUAUAUUUGCAUCUUAUAAGGCGGUCCUUCAUCAGUGAUAUACACCAUUACGCAUCUCUCCCACCCAAUCAGCUUCUUCGCAGUGAGGUCCUGAAUUAUACAAAUGCUCAAGAAAAAUAAAACAGCACAAAUCAAUGCAUUGGUUAGUUUGCUUAUUGAUAAUAAGUUGAAGUAAAAAUUUGGAAUUCACAAAACAUCACAAAAAGUUAUAUCGAUGAUAAGGAUACCAUGCUAGUGUGAGCGGUUGGGACGUAAGUACCACCAAGUAAUUUAGCACGCUUAGUGUCUACGCACUUCUUAACAUUUAUUAUAUCAGAAAGAUUAGAUAUCAUAUGGUCUGAAGCCCCACUAUCUAUUACCUAAUCAUCAGAUUCAAGAAGAGUAUGGUUGCAAUAUCGCUUACCAAUAUGGUGUGCUUGAGGUGAUUGUUUCUCUUGGUUAAGAAGAUUUAUGGGUUGUUUGUACUAGCUGGUAGUUAACCUAGGCAUAGGAGAGGCUUCGACAUUCUUACUAGCAAUGUAGAAAACAUCAUUAGUGAUAGCAGCAGGAUAAGGGUGAGACACCUGAGUAGCAUGCACAUUUUCUUGAUGCUUGGUGUUCUCCCUAGCUUUGUUUGAAUUACGGUUUCGUAGUACCUAGUUUGAAGGGUAGCUAAUAAAUUUGGAGCAAAUUUCUUUAGUGUGUUUGAACAGCCUAUAAUGAAUACAAGGAAGCUUUCUUUUGUCUUUGCUUAUAUUUUUCUACCAUUGGAUUGGCCUCCUGAGUGCCACCACUUCAACAUGACAUAUGUUAAAAGAAGCCAAUAUUUGUUGUUUUUCUUCUUGACAAACCAAGGAAUAGGCUUUGUUAACACUAGGAAAAUGAUCCAUUGCUAAUAUUUAUGUGCUAAUGGUGGCAAAAUUAUCUUUCAAUCCCAUCAAACAUUGAUGAACGUUUUGCACUCCAUCAUGGUGACAAGCUCCCUUGAUGUUCCACACUUGCCGUAUGGAUUCCUAACUCAUCCCAAUAACCUUUAAGAGUGGUGAAGUAUCCUAUGAUAGAUUGUUGUCUUUGUUCAUACAAGGCAAUGUUACAACGUAGUUGAUAAAUUCGGAUCUUAUUUCCUUGAGAAAAUCAUUGUUCAAGAUCCUUCCACAUUUCUUGAACCGUGUCAACAUAGGCAACACUAUUGUGGAAGUAUUUUGACAAAGAGUUGAAAAUCCAUGAAACAACCAUGGGAUUAUAUUUUUUCUAGGCUUGGACAUCUAAGAGAGGGGCUGAUGGCAUUGACAAGGAUCCAUCAACAAAGCAUUUUUUUGUUUUUGGCAAUGAGUGCAUUCCUUAUGGCUCUUUUCCAAGUAGAAUAAUUAUCACCAUCAAGAAAAUAUGGCAUUAAAAUUGCACCUGGAAUAUCGGAUGGAUGUAGAUAGUAUGGAGAAGAGGCAGAGAUAUUAUUGUUUCAUAUGGAUGAGGACAUAUAGUAGACCAAAGAAUAAAUAUGUUUUUGAAGGUAAGAAAAUAAAAGCAAAAAACCGUUGCAGAGAAAUAUGCAGACCUAAGGACUGCUAUCGCUUUUAUACCAUGAUGAAAUGUUGAUUAAAAUGGCCUAAUUUUUUUUGAGUAUAGAGAAUAGGUAUGUAUACAUCAUAUAUAUACAAAUUCAGCAUGCAGACAAAAUCAAAGAAAAUAUAAGUCAAGCUAGAUAAAUUUCAUAAAUCAAUCAAUGAAGAAUACUGCCUCAGUUGACCAAGUAAACAUGGUAAAUGAGGACAAAUCCUAUAAAUUAAUCCAUGAUGGUAGCCGCGUAAGUUGACCAAGUAAACAUGGUAAGUAAAAAAAGUUUUGAGGAAACUUUGGAAGUCUAUCUCACUAUUGGGGUGGCAUGACUAGGGCAAGGGUUGGGGAGAGAUGCAACUUCUCUUAAUUUGCAUGGUGGGACGGGGCCAUGAGAAAGUACGCCCUUUCAGUAACCAGUUAGUUUAUAUAUUCCACUUUUACCCCAUUAAAAUAAUAUGCAAAAUAUUUACAAUGUAAAAAAGUAGGCAGAAGCAAAACUAUGAUUUCUUUCUAAGAAUUGCUUGUUUGUCAAGUGCCUAAGGUCAGAUUUGAUGACCAUGGUUUGACGUAAUUCAUUAUCAUGUCGUAAUGGCCAGUACUGAAACCAUUGUUUUCUAUCAUAAUGGUUAUAAUGUCUGUCAUUUAUCUCAAUAGUAAUCUUUAUAACUCUUAUUGUUAAAACAAUCACUGAAAUAAAGGUUGCUAUAAUGGUGUAACAGUCUCCUGGUUUUUUUAGAUAAAAUAAUAUAUUUUUUAGACUGUACAAUCACUUUGGAGGAAAUUUUAAGAGAAAGAUUUAAAAUUUGAAAUAAAUAUUGUUUUAUUGAAAAGAAAGUAUGUUACAAUGGAUAUUAUAGUUGUUGUUGUGGUUGAAAUUUGGCCUGAGGGUGACCACGCCGGAGGAGACCAAGAAGACGCUGGCUGGGAUGGAGAAAGGGAAGAAAGAGAGUCAGCUCCUGUGCACCGGUGUACCUGCACAAAACCUUGGCCAGAGAUUCCGGCGAGGGCCCUCCGAUGGUUAAGUUAGCAGAGUUUUUUGGAGAGGUUUCUGGGUGUUUUGAAUUACUUUGUAUUGCUUCUAAUGACUUACCGAAGGUCUUUACCUAUCUCUUUUCUAUAGGGUGAGGGUCUCGACCGUUACCUAAAGUCUCGGGCCGAGUUGCAAUCAGCUGGCCAUUAUUCGGAGGUGGCGUAGAAUCACGGAGAUCAAUCCCGCGGGCGGAGGAUUUGGAAAAUAACUUUUGAGAUUUGUUCUGAGGAUCCGCAGGAUCUUCGAUGGGAUCAAGGUUGACAGGAUUGAGAUCGGCUUGGCCUUCAGCGGGGUCCGAGGUCGGCCUGGCUUUUAGCAGAAUCGAGGUUUGACCUACUCGGCUCUGAGAUCUGCUCGGUCGGAAUUGGGUGGCUCCGCGUUGGAGUAGGACGAUCCAUUUUGCCUUCCAUCAAUUGUCAUAAUGUUAUUAUUUAAAACGAUGGUGAUGACUUGCUAGGUAAAUUGUUAUACUAGAGCAAUUUGAAGAUACACACUAGUAGAUAUAUAUCUAUGAUCGCUAUGUAUGACCAAAUUAUGCAGUCAUCUUGCACGAUGUGCCUUUGCAUUAUGGUGCCGGACAGACAUCAGCAUUAGAUAUACUCUGUUGACGUAUCGGAGCAAGCCUCCCUUCAGUGUCAUUCUAUUGCUCUAGUUCUAUUAAGCUAUGGAGGCUGACGUUAAUUCCUUUCCAUAGCACUGCUCUCGGAAGAGUCAAAAUCCAGGCCUAGAUAUGCUUCAGACUUGUAAAGUGUUCUAAUUAAGGAUGACAAUUUAUGAUUCGAUCCAUCAAUCUGACUCACGAACGACCCGUUUUAAGUAAGUUUGGAUUUGACAUAUAUGAAUUUGGGUCGUAAAUGGGUCAACCCGUCUAAUUCUAUUUAUUAAAUGGGUUGGCUUCAGUUUAAACAUUUGACACGUUUAACUCAUUUGACCUAUUUAAUAAUUGGGUCGAGACCCGUUUAACCUAUUUAAAAUCUAUUUAACCUGUUUGAAACAUGCUUAACCCGUUUCAGAUCUGGUUAACUUGUUUAAUCUAUUUAAAUCCAUUUAACAUAUUAAACCCCGUCUAACCCAUUAAACCUAUAUAACUUGUUUAAUAAAUGGGUUAUGUGGGUCAGAUCGAAUUACUUACUAAAUAAAAAGGUCGGAUAUAAAUUUAAAAUUUUGACAUGUUUAAUAAAUAGGCUGAAUAUAGAUUGAUAAUUUUUUUUAAUCCGACCUGCAUCUAAUAUAACCAAUAUUUGACCCGAUCCAACCUUAUUGCCACCUCUAAUAUUAUUCCUGAUGCAUAUAAAGUAUUGUGAGCCAAGCGAGUCUCCUUUGCUUAGAAGACUUGAUUUCCAGUGACAACUAAGAGUCGCAACCGAACCUUCAUUUUAGAUUCCGGAGAUCUUGUUGAUGUCUAUUGUAGAUAUGGCUCUCUUUCCGAAAGAGAACUUGUCGCUCUCCGACUUUUUCUCCGGAUGGAGAUUGUACCCAUGCAAGAGUAUUCUCUUGUAAAAGCAAACAUCUAUUUCUCUUGCCUGUGUAACUAUCACAUAAGGACUAAAUCAUAUGCUUAUUAUUUUCCUAAGCAUGUGUUGUAAAAUUACAAGAAAACCAUGGCUGGUUGUUUUGAGAUUCUUUUUCUUGUAAUUAUCACCGUCAUAGCCAUAAUUACAUUUAGGAUAUGUUUGGCUCGUGAUCAAAGAUAGAAUCAUAAUUGAAAUCAAAAUGGAUGAAAAUGAGAAUCAACAUGGUCACAUUCUUCAAUGUAUUUGGUUCAUGAUUGGAAUUAGAAUCGGAAUCGAAAUGAGAUUUAAAUACUAGGAGAGAGUCGGAAUUGAAUUUUGGGAGAUUAAAGCAUUUUCAUUCUCCUCUAAAAUCAGCAUGGUAAUGAAACUCUUUCCAACCAAAAGGUUGAAUGGGAGUCACUCAUUCCCUUUCCUAUUCUAGAGCCCAACUCUCCCUAAUCAAACAUGCCCUUAACUCAUCGGUAACAUUAGAGGUAUGAACCUACCAUUAAAGAAAAAAGAGCCCUUAGAGGUAUAAACAGCCAAAAUCCACCCAACUGCCCAAAUGCAUGAUUAACCCCACCCAAGUGUGCGCAAACUAAAUGUCCUCAAAAUCAGAGAGAAAUUGUAAAACCUAGAAAACUAAAAUCGGUCCACUUGACCGGCCCAACCAUUUUUUGCCUUAAUACUUCACAUGCAAUGUAUGUGGGGGAGGAAGGAGAAAGACUCCGACUGUGAGUCUUCUUCUUCCCCGAUCAUGCUGAUCAGAAUCUUAUCGCAAUCCAAAGACCAGCCAAAUAAGACCAGGAUUGCCUAUUUAAAGACCUCCUCCUUCGAGUUCCAUUACCCAAUACCCGAGAUCAAGCCACCAAUCCCAAGCUCUACUUUUAGAUUUUCUUCCUUGAUUUGUCAUCGAAAAGAGCCGCCGAACCACCUCAUCGGACCGAGGUAAGUGUUCCUCAUCUUCUUCUCUCUCUCUUGGUAUUAUAGCCAUGAUUCAUCCUAAUUUGGGCUAGCAAAUUGCCAGAAAACCAUCCAAAAUUGGGGUGCCCUGUUUCGGUCUCCUUUUCUUUCGAGUUUGCCGCUGCUAGCCGCCGAGGUUGGUUGAGCCUUGCUGCCUCCUAGACUGCUGAGAUCAUAAGGCCAUCGAUUAGGGUGAUGGUCACGAUCUAAGCCAAAUUGAUGGGUUGUUUUGUGAUGAAAUUUUUACUUCCCUUCUUCUUUGCACCGACCCGCCACUAUCACUGUGGGUGCUGCCGCCGACAAUGACUGUGGUUGAGGAUGGCAGUGGCUAUCGUUGUUGGGGCUGGCUACUAAGCUGCAUCUGGAUUUGACCAAAGAGGAAAGGAAGAGACAGACUCUCUCCUAUUUUGGAAAAAAAGAAGAGAGUCUCUCUCUUCUUUCUCUCUCCUCUCUCUUUCUCUUUCCUAUCUCUUUCUUUGUUUUCUUUUCUCUCUCUACUCUCUCUUUAGUGAUGUUGGAUAUAGCAUGUCACCUCACUUUAUGAUUCUGGAUCAACCUUGGUGAAGGGCCCUAAUCCAUGUUUGUGGGUGGCACACCAACCCCCACCUUGGCUCUUUCCAACACUGUUAAAAUUAGUCACCCAAUCUACUAAACCACCUUUAUUCUAGUUUGAGCAUGAUCAGAUGAAUUCUGUUUUGAUCGGACCGACCGGGAUCUUGGGCACUCCCGCUAGAUCAACUUUAUAUGGGUGCUAGACUUAGGAUUUUUAUUCUCUGAAUAACUAUGAUAAAUUUUGAUGUUAAUGCAAUUUUUAAAUAUCAAAAUUUGAGAAAAUUUUUGAAAUUGAUUGGACUGAUAGUUUUGGAUUCUCUUGCAAGGUAAGUAAUGUAAUACUCUUUCUAGAUUUAUCGACAAAUUAUAAAUAUUUCAGGAAUUGAAUCAUUCUUGAUUUAUGAAAUUGAUGCAUAGUAUUUUAUUAUUAUAUAUGCCUCUUUCUAGAAUAUUCCAUAAUUUUUAAUUGAACAUAAUAAUUUUGAUAGAUUAUUUUCGAAUAAUUUCAAUAUCAUAUGAAUUUGCGUAUCGUAUAAUUUGGGCCACUAAAUAUACUUUUAAGAAAAAGAGUUUUAAUUCGAAACGAAUUUGGACUCACAACCGGACUAUGUUUUGAUAUCCUGCCAGUGAAGGUUGUACGUUGGCACUUCGAUAUCCUACCAAUGGGGGUUGUACGUUGGCACUUAGAUAUCCUACAAGUGGAAUUGUAUGUUGGCAUUUCAAUAUCCUGCCAGUGGAAAUUAUCAUUGACACUUUGAUAUCUUUCCAUUGGGGGUUAUGUGGUGACACUUUGAUAUAGUCAUAAUUCUUGGCUAUCAAGUUGAAUUUGAUGAUUUGAAAGAAAUUAAUUUAUGAAUGAUAUUUGAAUUGAAUUUAGCAUAAAUAAUGUUUUACUUUUUCUAAAUUUAUCAUCAUUUUUUAUAAAAUUAUUAUAUUCAUCACUUUUGAGUGGUAUUAUUUAUGAUGUAUGAAUUUGAUGCAUAGUAUAUUAUUAUGGAAUAUAUUAUUCUAGAAUAUUAUGAUGAUAUAUAUGAUCUUAUUAUAGAUAUGAUUGAUUAAUUUUAACACUGCAUGAUUUUAGAAUUGAAAUAUGAGUCUAAAACUAUUUGAAUUUUGACUUGGCUAUGUUGAGAACCCCGCCAAUGAGGGUAAUACGUUGGCACAUGAUUUAUCCUGAAAGCUAUAUCCAAGAUGAUGAGCGACAUACCGCAAAAAAAUAUGCGAUCAUGAAGGACUUUGCUAUAAGAUAAUGUUAGCUCGCCACAAGAAGAUGCACUGUGUUAUGACCCUUCCAUAGGAAAGAUGUGGUCAUAGCUCAAGAUCGAUAAGAAAAAUUGAAUAUUAAAAAGAAUUUAAAUUCAUAAAAAAAUUAAAUUUUUCAGAAAGAUUUGAUUUGUAUAUUAGUACUACAUAUAUGUUUAUUUUCUGCAAAUUAUUAUCUACUUAAUUGCCUGAUUUAUUUAGCUAAAGUGAUCAUUGUUUAGUAGGUUGUCUAGCUCAUUAUAUGAAUUCUUACUGUUUUUAUAGAUCCGAAAAAUUAGUUCGAUUUGGAGAUUUAUCAUAGGAGAGUGUUAGAGACAAAUAUUUUGACAUCUUUAUUUAGACUAGAUUUUACUUUAAAGUUGAUGCAAAAAUUUUAGAAUAUUAUUGGUUUUAUAAGACUUUUACUUUUAUUAUUUAAUUAAAAUUUGAACGUUAAUAUUUAAAUUAUUUUUAUUGUCUGAUUAUGAUAUCAUGAUGAGAUACCUUGCAUGCUUGUUGGAAGAGUUUUUCAUGAGUAUGUGGCGGUUGCCACGACCCUUGGUUUGUAAUUUUGGGUUGGGGGCAUGACAAAAACACACUUGCAAUUUUGGUCUAGGCUCUAAUGGCGAGACUAACUCAUCUGAGCAAAAGUUACCACCGAAGUGAGACGAUCACUCUCAAUGAUCAUCCUUGUAGCAUGCAGUUUCUCAAGCCACUCUCCUAGCCUCUAGAUCUUAGAGCUUACUCUUUGGCCAUUGAUAAAGUGUUGGUAUGAAAGGCUAUGGAGUUGUAGAUGAUAGAAGAUCCCUGAAAGUUAUGGAAUUUUAGCCAUCCCACUGUAGGGCUGCUCCCAUUCCAUUGACAUUGUCUUUUGAAAAAAUUGAGAUCAAACUAUUUAGAUCUACUAUAUAGUGGUCCAUUGCCUUUGAUCAUGACCAUCAAAAACAAUUGCCUGUGGGACGCUAGAGUAAGCAACGAGCACAGGACAAAGCAACUAAACCAUCAAGUAGGUUAGGAUGUCCAUCCCGACAUUCCCCAAAAGAGAGUCGUCAUUGGUUGUCUUUUCCAAAAGACGUAAGUUUUAGUUAUGUAAUAUAUGUGAAUUGAGGCUUGCCCUAAUGAUCAUUUUCCUAUGCUUAGAAAUCAAUAUUUGAAACUAAUAUAUGCGCAUAACCUUAAUAUCAAUUUCUAUUAUUCUAAUUAGUAUGAUUUUUCAUGACAUGUUAUAUCUACGUUCUCUGUGCCCAUAUAUAUAUAUAUACACACACACUACCAUUAGCAAUGUGCCAAUGAACGCUAUCUUUUAAUUACUAUAUAAAUUUCUAGUAAAAAAAAUGGUACUUAGUUCCAAAAGGACUGUAUAGAAUCUAGAAGCAAGAUUCGCAGUAUCAGAAAGUUGAAUCGUACGCCAAAUUUGUGGAUAUCUUAACUUGCCUUUACAAUAUUCGAUCAAUGUGCCUUUUGCCUCUUUUUUUUAAUCAAGUAAUUUUUUGAGCUCUAUGAUGUAGCAUUACCUUGUAAGGAUGUAGUGCACCGAGCAAGGAGUUGCGAGUCGAUACCAAAAAAAAUCUUUCUAGGAUAGAUUUUGAUCAGGCAUAUCUCCCAAUCAGGGAUUAAUUGGGCGAAACGGCUACAAACAAAGUCAAUACAAAAGUCAAAAUCUACCUUCUAUAGGAUAUAAACUUUUUUGUGAUUAUUUUUACUAGUUGUGCUUAUUUUAGAAAAGUUGCAUCCUCUUUAUAACUAGAAGUGGAAGUCAACCGAAUUGCAUAAGGGCGGACCCCUAAUAUAAAUAGAGGCCUUUUAACUUCAUUUUAUUAUGCUUUAAUUAAAAAAAAAGGAUCUAGAUCCUACUUUCAUCAAUUUUUUUAUCUUUUAUUUUUUAAAAAAUUCGAGUUGAAUAGGUUGAAGAAAUUAUAUCCUUCUCUAUGAUCAAAUCGCACUUUGUGUGAAUGUUAUCACUUAGGCAAAGUAGGCAUUGAAAUUUCAUGCACACCUAAGGAUUCAUGUUGUUUUAGUCUAGUGCAAAGUAGGCAAAAUACAGACGUUGCUACAAAAUUGUAUGUUGGGCUUGACAUUAAGAAACAAAUUGCCAGAUUAGUCCAUUAUCCCCCAUGAAAUUAGGAGGAUGGGGGUUCCUAACAUACUGUAGUCAGAGUUCUUAUUUAAAUAAUAUCAUCCAAAAGAUAAAAAAAAGUCUUAGCUCAUCCUACAAAUGAAUACAGAAAUACUAAAAUAACAAGCAACUGCCAUGAAGACCACUAAGAAUUUACAGUUAGAUAUGACUUAGAUUGUUACCUCAGCGAUCAUACCCUUUCGCCUAUAGACAAUAGACCCCAAUUUUUAGCCUUCAACAAUGGUGUAUCUACUUGAUCUUGUCACUUAUAUAUACAUGCACACACACAUAUAGUUAGGUCACUUAAAUUUCUACUUGUACCGAGGCCCACACUAUUGUAAGGCACCAUUGCACUCAUAAGCAUAAUUUACUUCAAUGAGAAAUACAGAUUUGUUGCAAGUAGAAUUAGGACUGUUGGUAGACCAAGGAGUUGUGAACCUAAUUCAGUAAUGUUUAUACAAAUUUGUUGCAAGUAUUAUCAGAGCCGGCCCAACCCUUAGGCGACUGAGGCGGUCGCCUAAGGCUGCAGCCCAAAGAAAGCUUACCACAAAAAAGGCCUCAAAGACAAAACAGAAAGAAAAAAAAAGACUCUUAGUGAGUUCGCCCUAGGUCGGUCCACUGUAAGAAAAAUCUUAAAGACAAAAUGGAAAGAAAAAAGAUCUCUCUUUAUGAGUUCAUCUUAGGCCUCCAAAUACAUUGAGCCGCUCCUAAGUAUUAUCAGACCAAAGAGUUGUGAAUCUAAUUCGGUAAUGUUUUGGACCUUGACAUUUAAUUGUUGAUGUCCAACAAAAUUUUCUACAUGCCAUGUCCCAAACCUAGACUAUUGACAUCUCCAGCUAGAUCUCUUGUGCCGCACAAGAAGCAAGUCCCACCUACAACCUAUAUGGCCUCUGCCACACGUGCCAGUCACCCUCAAGCAUAGUAGGAGCCAGGGAGAAGCGCCACUAAAUUUGUGUCGUGGAGGCCGGCGUGCACGGUUUUUGUCACCAAGUAAUGUGGUCGUGGACCCAUUCUAAAAUUUGUCCUUACCAGGCUAAACUGUGGGUCCCACAUUCCACUACUGACGUGUCCUCUUUAGUGGGGCAAUGAUGUCAGAACCGCACAGUCUGUUGGGCGCCCUCUAGUUGGGUGGUCCAGCGAGGCCGAUCUGAGGUGUCCGAUAUCGAGGAGACACGCCACGUGUAGGCCCAUCGACUGGCCAGGCGCCAGCCCAGGAGGAGAUUCCGUAUCUUUCGAGACGCGUACGGCCGCCUACGUCCCCAGAUGGGUUUGUUGGAUGGCGGACCAUGCAAAUAACGACGUUAUUUGCCCGCAUUACUUAUGAUGGAGUGGGAUAUUGCAGAAUAAAAUAAUUAUUGUUAUAAUAACGGCUAGCAUUAGUUAUUGCAAUGUGAACAAUAAUGAUUAAUAAUGAAAGAUUAACAUCAUGGUUUAUCAAAAGACCACUAUUAAGUCUGAUAAAAAUAUCAUUUUCUAGCUAGUAUUUUUAAGUUAAGAACAUUAAUUUUCUUAUUGAAAAUAAAAGGUGAAAAAUAUUGAUCAAAAUUAUUAUUUUUGUUAUCCGGUUAAAAUGCUUUGGCAAACUGUUGCUGCCUUUUCCAUUUUGUCCCAAAAUUCCUAUAAACUUGCUUAGGCAAAGAUGCACAGUUAACUAAAAAUGUAUUAUUUGAAGGGAGGAUAAAAUGUAAUAUGGGUUUGGUAUCUUAAUCUUCAAGAACUUUUGCUACUGUCACAUCACGGUUUGAAGAAGAUGGAAUUGCAUACGAGUGUAGCAUUGGGCUAUGGCAAAGAUUUUAAGUUAUGCUUACUCAUACAAUAAAAGAUUAAGAUAAAGAUAAAGGUAAUUUGAUAGGUUUAAUUGUUGAAUGAUCUUUAUAUAGUACAAUUCUUCUUAUUCAUAUUACAAUACGAUAUGUAACUGCCUACUCUAACAGUUGCUAUCCACAUCUGGUCUCAAUUUCUAGCGAUUCUGGUAAGACGCCAGCCAUCUCCUAAUACGCACGUUCAUUAGCACGAUUAUGCACCACUAUUGCCAAUAGUGGUAGAUAGUGCUGCCACUCCAUUCAUAUCUUACAUUUAUAUGGACAUCUUGCAUCUCAAUUUUUAGAUACUGCUACCAUAGUUAGUGAAAAGAUGGAUAUCACUAUUGACUAAAGACAUUUCUUCUUACUAUUAUAUGCCACAUAAGCCAUCAUUGCCAUGCAUGAUAGAUAAUUCGAUGACUCUUCCCAUGCAUGGAUAGUGGUAACCAUUGGCCAACCACCAUACUUAAAUUAUACUCUGCUAAAGCCUCGUUCUUGGCGCCCACCGCCGGUUGAUGUCACUUGGCAUGGAUCUUUGGCCUUUCGAUUAACAUUUUUGGUGUUUCGGCCAGAAAUUUUAGUAUUUAGGCUUGCACCCUCCUUAGUGUAUUGAUCAGAAUCCUUAGUAUUUUGGCUAAAAACCUUAGUGUUUUGGCCAGAAAUAUUGGUGUUUCAAUCUAAAACUAUGGGUGUUUCGUCUGAAAACCUUAGUAUUUCUACUAGAAACCUUGGCGUUUCGAUUUAAGAAUGUUGGUGUUUCAGCUAGAAAUCUUAGUGUUUUGGCUAUAAACCUUAGUAUUUCAAUCUGCACCUUCAUUGGUGUAUUUGUCAGACUUCUUGGUGUUUCGGCCAAAAUAUUGGUAUUUUGACUACUUGGUAAGAGGUUGGCGGGCAAUUCGGCUUGGUACUUAAAGUUUNNNNNNNNNNNNGACAUCUUUUCAAAACCUUCUAUUCAACCUGCCUAAGGUGCCUCUUUUGAAGAUUUGCUAUUACUGUGUUUAUAUAUAAUGACCCUCAAAGACUUAUUGUUGAUCGAUCUUUAAAUAAAAAAUAUUAGUCUGAAUAUGGUGUAAACACGUACACGAAAAAAUUUCUAAGAUCCAUUAAUGUUGGCUUGCUAGCUCCUCAUCAAGUCAUCUUUUGCACUGUAUCAAAUCCUACAAAUUGCGCUCCUCUCCAUGAGAGGGAGAGAUCCUUUGGUGUGAAUAAUUUGAGAGCCCUGACAAAAAUAUUUAAUAUAAUAAUAGAAUGAUGUUAACAUUUUUUGCUCAAUUAUGUGUCAUGUGAUAAUUCUGGUUCAGCAUAUGAGUUAUAUGUGAGUCUAGUAUCAAGGUUGGGCCAAUCACGGAUGCCAUGGAGCAAAGAAUGUAUGAAGCAAAAGUAAUAGUGAAUUUUAGUAUUUUUCUGACAAAGUCCUAGUAUAGUCUUACUUAUUUUUAAAAUUUCUACCAUAUUUAGACAGAAUCUAAUAAAAUCCCAUUGAUAUGACUGUAGCUAUUGUUUAACAUUACAUGGGACGUUAUUUUAAACCAUGCUGCCGGCUAGAAUUACCCUCGUAAAGGAUUAAUUACUAAUAUACGCGAAACUAAAUGGGAAACCUAAUUGUAGUAACCAAGGUUGUUGCCCUAUAUAUUUCCACACGUUUUCUUGUACGCCACCGUUCAGGAGCUGAGCUCAUCUAGGCUGAGAAUAGAUCAAAUACCGAUUGGAUAUCAACGUCCAUAUCCAUCUCCAUAUCCAUAUUCAUUUAUAUUUAGCAAAUAAAGAUAUCGAUAUAGAUAUUAAUUCGAUAAAAAAAAUAUAUCCAUAUUUAUUUUAAAUAUAUAAAAUCUAUUUAUAUUUGGCAAAUAGGGAUGCCAAAUAUGGAUAUUAAUUCCAUAAAAAAAUUUAUAUUCAAAUAGCUAAAUUUUGAGACAAUAAAAUCAAAAACUUUGUUGAAAAGAAAGCAGAUAAAGUUGAGAAUAUCUUAAUACAAUCAUAUAUUUUUCUUACGUUCAUGAUUACCAUAUAAAAUUAAAUAUAAUUAUAAAUAUAGAGAAUAUUCCGAUAUGAAAUGGAUAGUUAUCUAUCCAUAUUUGUAUAGUUUAUAUCUAUCCAUAUUUUUACCUGGGGUUGCUGUCACAGCAGUGGAAUGAGUGUCUCCUUGCAUGGGAAGAAUAUAUUUGGUUUUGCUUUGGGAAAGAUUGCUGCCUUGUCUUUUUUUUUUUUUGUGUUGUUGUGUGUGUGUAUUGCGUCCAAGCUGGGAUAAAAGAUAUGACCUCCGGAGGACAUGAUCCUCCCCGGGAUAUCUAUUCCCUCGUCAUCAUAUGCAUCCUUCUAGCUAGCAACUGGGUCAAAUACUACUAUAAAAUGACACCAGAUAGUCACAAGCAGCCUGCAACAUGCUGCACUUUCCUGUUUGGAGUCCCGUUUCUCGCACUGUCUGGUGUUUCCUCUGGUGCCAGCUUGUGAUGAUGUCUUCAUUGGAUUCUUUGAGCCAGUCCAUAGCAACAACGAAUGGUUCCUGUACCAAAAAAUAAAAACAACAAAUGGUUCUAAAAGAAUACAGCUAUAGUUUUUGUUGUUAUGGAACUGCUGCAUGUAUCCCUCCUGCAUGUGACUGACCGCAUGGUCCACAUAAUCCUUAUGCACAGCUAAACCAUGCCUCUCCCCACCUUGGUGCACAUAUUAUAACCUGUUCAUGCACAAGCACACUGAUAGCCAACAUACUAACUAUAUUGAAUGCUUUGGAAUGACAUGUCAACUUGGUUUGUAUGUGAACUUCUAGCUGCAAUCAGCUGGUAAUUAAUCACCAUCACAAGAACCAUUAGUAGCACUUACAAUGAAAGUUAUCGAUCGUUAGAGGGAUUAAAAUCCAUAGUGUUUCUCGCAAGAUCGAGUUUAAAUUGGAAGUAUAACUUAUGAAGGUCAUUAUUUAUUCUGCUAACAGUUGUUAUUAUAGAGCAAUAGCUGAAUGAUAGAAGUUAAUUAAGCAGAAAUAUCGGCUAAAUUUCAACAUCUUCGGAUACUGUUAUAAAAAUAAUGCGAUUCCAGCAGAAUACUUAUUAAUAUGAUAGCGAAGUUUUUCUAAAGGAAUCUUGUCUAUGGUGAAGGACCUAAAUAUAUGCAGAAAAGCUGGAAUGAUGAUGGGACUGGCUCCUAUAGAUGUGUGCCCUUUAACUUAAACAAGAUUACUUAGGUUUCAUUCUCUCUCUCUCUGUCUUUCAUAUGGAUAUUCUAUGUGAUUUGACAAUUUUCUUUAUUAAAUAUCUAAUAAGAUAUAUAUAAAACACAAUUAUUCCAAGCAAGCUAUUGUUAAUUUUUCUUUUUUAAAAAAAAAGUGUAUGAUGGUUGAAAUUUCAGUUACAUUUUGACAUCAUAUAUUUGUAUUGUUAUACUACCCAUUUUAACCUCGAUCGCUGCUGAAUUAUAUGCCAUUAUGUUCUCUUGAUAUGAGCGAUAUCUAACCUAUGAACCUCCCCUUAUAUCAGAUCAUAUCAAAUUAAAACAUCUGCUUGCAUGGAUGAAGGCGAGUUACCCCCCCUAAACUUAGUUGUUUCCUCCCCUCCGUUUCCCCAGCCGUAGCAAAGUUGACAACUAAGGUACGUACGUAGUAGGUAAACCUCCUAAAUAAUUUAGUCGCCCAGGCACUGACCUAGCAGCAGAUCUUCCUCCUGUACGGAUCCAAGAGAUCCUCCCUACCUCCCCCUCUCCUACCAUUCCUUCUAACUUAAUUAUUCUCCUCUAUCUCCAUCAUAAAUAUAUCCUCAUCAUCAUGCCUCCAUAAAAUAAAAACGAACAACCCUUCACUGCUUCCUACUUAGAUCUCCACUUCUCUCUCUUCUGGUAGGCUUAGAUCCUCUCUUUCAAACAAUAUAAACUUUGAAAGAUUUUAUAACAUAACACGUCAGCUGUCAGUCACUACGUGGACCAAGACUUUUCCUCUCUCUCUCUCUCCCUUCUCUCUCUCUCUCUCUCGUUGUAAAUAGAACGAGGGGAGGAGAGGAGACGAGAGGAGGUUAUUUAUUGCCCGGAUCCUGAGGCUCGGUCCAGGUCCGUGAGAGAUACGCCAGAGAUUGAGAGAUUUGAGAGAGAGAGAGAGAGAGGAGGGGGUGAAAGAAAUCCGGUGGCGCUGCAUUCAUUCAGAAUAUCGGAAGCAAAUCCGCCGCCGGCCCCCUCCGCCGUCCGAUCGAGAUUCGGAUCCCAACCCACGGCCAGAUUUCGUGCAUCGAAUCGCCUCCGCUCACCGAAUCUUCGAAGGCGCGCUCGGAUUCGGAGAUCCCCUCCCCGCUUCUUGUAUAAGUAGUAAGACGGUGGGGUGGUGCAGACUGGACGGAGAGAGCGAGCGGCGUUUCGAAUUUUAUUAUAAUAUUACUAUUCUAGAGAGAGAGAGAGAGAGAAGGAGGAGGAGAGGGGAUGGCGAUGGAAAGAGGGUGUAAGAGCACAGGCGGAGAGCCGCACGUUCUCGCCGUCGAUGAUAGCUCCGUCGACCGUGCCGUCAUUGCCAAUGUUCUCCGAAGUUCUAAAUACCGAGGUUCUUUUCUUUUAUUUCUUUAAUUUUUUUUAAACAUAGAAGAAUAUUUUUUUUGAAUAUUUUUUUUCUUUCAUUUUUGCAGUGACGGCUGUGGAUAGCGGGAAGAGAGCUCUGGAGCUCCUGGGCUUGGUAUUUAAAUCUUUUUGAGCUAUAUGUAUCAAAUAAAUUAUUCGUUAGGAUUAAUAUAUGGAUAUAAUAUUUGGGUUCAUCAAAUAAAUAAAUAUUUUCAUUUUUGGCGCAGGAGCGGGAUGUGAAUAUGAUAAUCACGGACUACUGGAUGCCGGAGAUGACAGGGUACGAGCUUCUGAAGAGAGUCAAGGUAAAAUAGAAAAAAAAUUAAAUUUUGGCAAUAAUUAAAUAUCUGGUCUUGGAAACUUCGGUAUCUACAAUUUUGCCAUCAAUCCAGGAAUCGUCUGAGCUUAAGCAGAUCCCGGUCGUUAUUAUGUCCUCGGAGAACGUUCCAAAUCGGAUUAGCAGGUGCGUGUUGCAAUUUUCGAGAACCAUCAGGGGCAUGGUUGUCAAUCUAAUUGUAGAUAAAUUAUUUGUGAAAAUAUUUAUAAUUGAUUUUUUUUUAAUUAAAUAUUUUGGUGGUAGGUGUUUGGAAGAGGGAGCAGAGGAUUUUUUGCUGAAGCCCAUCCAGCCGUCGGAUGUGUCGCGCCUGUGCAGCAGGUUCUUGCGAUGAGGACCAUUGGAUCUGUGAUCUCCUCCAAUGGAUAGACCCCAUUGAGGGUAGGAUUGUCUUCUUUGUAUGGUGAAAUGAUCAAUUAAAUCAAAGGCCGCCGUUGUAAUAGACCGUUGAAAUAUGAACAUUUUAAGCGUGGUAUGCUCAUAGCACGAAAUUUUGGACACUAUAGUGGGAAUGAAUAUAUUAUUGGUGAGAGUGCUUACAAGAAUAUAAAAAACCUUCUCCUUUGGCCAUUCAUAAAUGUUCUGAUUUUGGAUUCACCCUAGUGCAACCAAAUCAAGUCCAUCCUUGUAUGUCGAUCUAAUCGGGCCACCAUUGCAAGUGUUCUUUUGCAUCGAUUUAGUUCAUGUCAUGUUAUCGUGGAUCCAAACUAGAGUUUCUUAGGAAGCCAUGGAUUCGACGCUUAUCGUAAUUAAGCAUGUGAUUGCAUUUUGAGAAAAUGAAUUCUAAAAUGCCGAUUCUCGAGUUAUCCUAUCGUUGCUCAAACGAAUAGGGCAAUAUGUUCCUUUCUUGAUCUUCCAUAAUAAUUUUGUAACUUAUUUAUAUUCUAGAGCAGUGAGGAUUGGAAUUUCUUUGUGAUCGAAUCCGAUGUGCAAAUAAAUGGAAUUCAUUAGAUUUUCGAGAAACUUAAAAGCCAAAAUUAGUGUGCAAUUGUUUGAAAGUUUCCUACAUGUGCUUCAAGUUUUGACAUACAAGGCGUUGAAAUGUGGUAGGAUGAAGACCUCUUCCUAUGUCUGCAUGCUAGAACUAAUUAUGGCAGGAGGUGGCCUUUUUCCAAGGGUAGAUUUCUCGUGCUUCGGUCCUCCUUUACGAUGUGUGGCUUCCUUCUAUUGAAACAUAGCAAUCGGAUCUCGUUAUGUUUGGCUUUAUGGAUUCAGGGGACCACAAGUAGAGACACUAUGGACUCAAAGUCGAUUCAUGUGGAUUUAUAUUGCCACUCUGUUUUGACUAGUCCACUCUCUUGACUAAAUUGCUGGUGCAAGUUUAUUAGCUAAGCAAUGGGUCUAUGAAUUGCUAUCAAAGUAGCAGUCUGAAAUUAAUAAGGAUUUUUUGCAUGAAUACCCUUCUAAAUAUCGGAUUUUGCAUGAAUACCCUUUCAAAAUUGAUAUUUGCAUGUAUACCCUCGUAAAACUCUGUUAUUGUAUAAAUGCCCCUAAUAUAACGGUUGUUCUAACGGUGUUAAGAAAAAUUAUAUUUAUAUUAAUUAAAAAUAAAAUAAAAUUUUAAAAUUACGCUAUUGUUCCUGUCUUUUUUUUUUUGCUAUUGGGAUUGCGAUCAUGAUUGCUUGUAUACCCUUAUAAAUGUUUCUAUUUACACGUCUACCCAUUAUGGAUAUUUUAAUUAUUUUAAUUUGAUACCGUUAAUUUUUUAACGACAUUAGAUUGCAUGGGUACAUAUACAAAAACAAAAAUAAAAAAAGAAUAGAAUAGCAAAAUAGUAUUUUAAGAGGGUAUACAUGCAAAUAUCAAUUUUAGAAGGGUAUUUAUACAAAAUUUGAUAUUUAGGAGGGUAUUCAUACUAAAAAUUCAAUUAAUAAUAAUGUUUCUCUUCAAGUUAGAAGGAAGUGAAUUAUCAUAAUUGGAAAAUAACAUCACUAGGAAUUUAAUCUUGGAAAACAACCAUGACAAGGUAGCUAGUUGGUCCUAUAAGGGCAAAACAAAUCUGACAUAGCACAUGCAAAAGUUGAUUUUGCUUGUAGUUAAGGGUGCAUUCCAUAACCUUUCACAUGUCAUGCAUUGGACAUGCAUAAUUUAUUACUAUUACAUGUCACACAAUAUCUCACCUGAGAUAUUUCCUAAUCUAGGGAUGGUAAUUGGGUCGAGUUGGACCCGAUAAGAAUUGGAUCGGAUCCGUGAUAGGUCAAAAAGUUGUCAAGGCGAACAUGACAUGUUUAUUAAACAGGCCAAAAAUUCAGAUCUGAACUUGACUAUUAUAGUAAACAUGUAAUCCAAGCCGACCUACAACAAGUUUGGUUAAACAAGUUAAGUAUUGUCAUUCUUACCCUAAUCCGAUCAUGGGUUUGGGCUUGUCCUUUCGAAUUUAGACAAGUUGCAGGAAAUCUAAUAAAGCUAUUUGUCUUCUUAGGGAAAAUUGGGACCUAAAACCACAAACAAAAAAAAAAAAAGCCAACUCUUUCAUCUUGUCAUUUUAGAGUUGAAGCAUGUUCAAAGAAAUGUGAAAAACAUCGUUUCCUCACAUGAAACUACUUAGGCAUGAUAGAUACUGAUCAAAUCAUUUAUACCUAUCUUAUGAUACUCAGAGAGUUAUACUUCAAAAAUCUAUUUGCUUCUUAUGUGCCUUCUACAUACCAGCGAAGAAACAAUGCAACCAACUAUUUCCUUCUCGAAAGUUAGGUUUGAAUUGUUAGAACUGAACUUUGUUUUGUUAUCUAAUGAUAACAACUAACUUUCCUUCUAAAAGGUAAGCCUAUGUUGCACGGGGAUAGCUAAUUAUCUCAUAUUAUUUAAUACAAGAUAAAAAUGACCUAGCCUAUUGUUUCUUAUUUGCCGUAGAGUUUCGCUAGGACUAGACUAGAACCACUACAUUUUUUGUCAAAUUUGAGAGUAGAGCUGAUCAUGGGUCAAGCUUGGCCGCAAAAAAUGUUAAAUUUUAAAUAGGCCCAGUUCUGAAAUCCGACUAAAAAUGAAUAUAGUUUAGGCCUGAGGCCCAGCUAAUGAUCAAUUCUACUUGAGAGAUAGCAUGGAUUAUUUUAAUCUUGUUAUUAGCUAAUAGCAUCUUUCUUGCUUCCACCAAAAAAAAAAAAAAAAAAGAAGCAGGCUAGGAGCAAGUUUAGCUAAAAAGACCUAAUUCUGAAGACAUGUUGCUUUAAGUAGUAAGAAGUGAAUCAUGCACAAGAGAGAGGAGAUGACGAUUCCAUGAUUUGCUAUUUAAAUUUUGAAAAACAAGUUAAAUACUUACGUACCUCCAGAAGAGGAACUACAUGGAGUAAGUUGCCACAAAAAUUAUAUAUGUUUAAUACAAACAAAUUGAAAAAUGAAGAGGAGUAGCUAUUCAGUUUUAAUUGUACUAUCACCCUACAAUUUAUGUCCUACAAUCUCUUUGUUUAACUCAUAUACUCAUUCAAAAGGCUUAGAAAAUAAUUUACAAAAAACACCAAAAGACACCCAUGCAUUCAAAAAAAGGGAAAUCUCUAGUCUUAUGGGGUUCAUAAGGCUGGUCCUUCUUUGUUGGAGGUAUUGGUGAUCCUUAUAGCAUGAACCAUGAAACCGUCAUGGGUCAUGAGCUUCAUUAUUUGCAAUCAAGAUAUAUUUGUAAUCCUAUAUCGCACAACUAAAGAUGACCUUUUCGGUUUGUAUUUUUGAUGCAUUAUGUCUCAUGUGUGAUUUGCUUGCUUUGAAAUUUAAGAAUUAUAUCUUUAUAUGCUAGCUUUGCGGAUUUAUUGAACUAGCAAUCAAAAUAGUUCUUCCCACAAAAUCCUCUAUAAAAAUAUAUUGCUUCUUUAUAUUUUCGAUAAUCCAUGAAUUUAACUUGCUAAUAUGAAUUAGAUAGUAAUCAAUUGAUAGUAACAAGCCUUCAAAUAUCUAUUAUCAUAAUGGAAGAAGCUAUUUUACCCAAAUAUAUUUUUUGCAUCUAAUUUAGAUGUUUUGCUUUUCAGAAAGUCAAUAAUAGGUGUUGUUUGAAGAAUUUGGAGGGAGAGAAAGCAAUGUAGCAAGCUCAAUCUACCCAAGUAGCUAGGAAAAGAGAAAGGAUUAUGAGCUAUAUUUGUGCUCUCCAAAAAUUAUCCUCAAGCAAUCAUGAGGAAUGAUAACCAUCCUUGCUUUUUCCCACGUGCAUUAUAUACACUUGACACUAGUUUAAAGUAGUAAGGAAUUUGCCUUAAAAGAUUUUAAAGAAGUGGUUUAUCAAAAUAAUGAAGUAGCAUGACUAAAAACUAUUGUUGCAAGCUAGCCAAGGUUAGGGUUGUAACUCGAUCAUGACAUGUACCUAAAUUGAUUUAUUUGCAAGGCUUUGAGUCUUGGCUUGUUAAGUUUAUUAUAUUAGAUACUGUGUUGAAUAUGUUAUAUGAAGUAAAAUGCUAUUGUAUGAUGCACUUACAUAAGUUUGUUGUAUGCCAGUGAAAUUUGAUAUGACAUGCACCUAAGUUAACUUGGUGGAUACAUGCUUAUGCAUACAUCUUUUUGAAUAUUUAGAUUAGGACAAACUUCAAAGAAUCUAUUCAACUCCUUUGUUUUUGUAGAGCUAAAUAAAAUCAAAAUAAUUUUCGCUAACUAUUAUUGGCAUCGAAGCAUACAAAAAAAAUUCAGCAAGUCCUUUCUUCCAUAUGUUUUAAGAGUACAUAGGACUAAUAGAAACCAACCAAAUAUUUUAACUUGUCCAAUUAUCAUACUCAAGUCUUUUCUUAUGAAAUAGAAGUGAAAGUGGAUGGAAUAAUAUCUAUUUAGAUCUGUUUUUGUAUCCGAAUCUAUAUAAAUAUAUAUCAAAAUUUGAGUAUCCGACUAAUAUUUCUAUUCGUAUCCAUAUCCGAAAAAAAUAGAUAUGGAUAUAGAUAGACAACUAUUCGAUCUGUAUCCAAAUAUUCGAUUUUAUUUGUAACCUUAUUUAAAUUUAUAUAGAACUCAUAAAAUUUUAAGAAAAAUAAAUGAUUACAUUAACAUGCUAUUACUUGAUUCAUCAUCUACAUAGUAAUAUCUUUUAUUUUAUAGUCAUAAAAUUUAAUAUUCGAUUUAUAUCUAUAUUUAUAUCCAUACUUUCGGGAUCUGAUUUGUAUCUGUAUCUAUUUAGCAUAAAAAUAGAUAUAAAUUUUUGCAAUCGAUUAACAUCCAUAUCCAUAUAUGUAUUGAUCAAACAAAAUAAAUAUGGAUAUAGAUAUGCUAGUAUCCGAUCCAUAUCUGAUCCGAUUUCAGUCCUAUUAUGAAAUCUAUCCAAUUUCUUUAUUCUUACCUUCUUACAUUUAAAUUGGGAUGAUUUUGGCCGACUCUUUUCUUAAGGUUAGGUUUGAAUCGUCACAACUAACUUUAUUUUUUCUUUAUCUUCUUAUCAAUGAGACUGAAUUGAAGUACCACGACUACUAAUAAGGUUACUUAUUUAAUAAAAUAAUUAGGUUUGGAUCUAGAUAUUUUUGACCCAUUUAAUAAAUAGUCAGGUUUGGCUUGAUAGAUUUUUGGCCUAUCCUCUAUCCAACCAACCCGAUUGCCAACCCUAUUUAUAGCUACAAUUUUAAAGAAAAGAUAAAGAUAUGUUUGAGAACAUCGUAAAUGAGAGUCUAGUGAUACAAACAAUCAAUACCUAAAUAUAGUUAAAUGAGAGUGAGGGAGAAGUUGUUAGAUGCUAGGUUCAAUGGAGGAUUAAUUUAAUUGAGAAUUCAUUCAAUAGAUUCAGAAAGCUGUUUCGGAAGAAGGAAAAGAGUAGGUUUUAUAUGAUUUAGAUUUUCAAAUCGGGUGGAAUCUAGUCCAAGUUGACUCAUGUAUAUUUUUCAGUAACCUAAAUAGAUCUGGAUAAUAUCCAGUCAUUUUGGGUCCAAAAUUAUAAAACCCAACCCUGCCUACUUUUCACAAGGACUUGACCCAUAGUUUUUCUAAAAAUGGAUUAGACUGGGUUGGAUUUGCAGCCUUAAACUCUUCUUCCAUUAGCGGUUGUAAAAACACACAAAUUCUUGAUCAGUCAGAAUGUUUAUCACAAAAGAUAGAGCCUUCUCUUUUCAAAAAGUCCUACUUAUCACAUUCCUUGAGUUAUCAAAAAACCCAGGUGGUGUUUGGUGAUCAUAAUGGGAUCACCAAGAUGAUCUUAGAUCAUUAGAGAUUCUUAUCUUGGAAUAAUCUGAUUUCUGAUGAUUUAAGAUUACCAUGUAUUAUGUUCUAAUGAUUAAAGAUCCUUGGGUAUCUACAAGUAACUUAUUUUGGUAUUUCAUGGAAAUCCAAGAUCACCAAUCACUAGUGAUUCUUAUCCCAAGAUAAUAUGAUCCCCGAUAUCUAAGAUCACCACGUGCUAUGUUCCGGUGAUUAAAGAUCCUGAAUAUCUACGAGUAAUCUAUUUGGUAUUUUAUGAAAACCAAGAUCACUGACCAUACAAUACCAAAACUACUUCUGAUAUAUUUCAUAAUAUUAAUAAUAUAACUCAUUAAUCCUAUAAAAAUAUUUUAAUUAUUAUUGCAGAAUCAAUAUUAUGAUUUUAAUUAUAUCAUAUUAUUAUUUUAAUAUUUAUAUUUAUUUUGAUUAAAAAAAUAAGGCAAAUAGAAGUAAUAUAUUAAAUAAUCUCAUGAUAUAAAUAUAAAGUACAAUAAUAUAUUUAUAUUAUGAUUUAAAAUUAUAAUUAAAUAAUAAUAAUAUGAUUAAUAAUAUAUUAUAGUAUAAUAUAUAUCAUAAAUACAAUGUGUGCAAUAUCAAUAUAAUAUAAUAUAUAAUAUUGCUAUUAUACAUUUGGUAUAUUGAUAUAUCAAUUUUGGGGAUUGCUAUGGUACUCAUUUAUAUUAUUUUAUAAAAAAAUACAAGAUAUCUUGACCGUUAGAUAUGUGAGGGUAUGUAUGAAAUUUUAUUCCUAAUAGGUUACUUAGCAGAUUAACUAUAGGUUACUAGCCUCUUUUAGUUAUUAUUAUUUUUUUUGAAAAAAUAUUUUAUUAAUUUAUGCGCUGACUUGGUUGAACCAAGAUAGAUCUAACUCUGUCGGCUCACCAACAUAUGCUCACACCCCAAUCCCUGCUUUUCAUCCACAUUGGCUCCUUCGCCCAGAAGCAUGGAUAGAUCAACACCAACCCUUUGAUCCUCAUCCCAUCACCCAGCUCCUCCUUCCUGGCACACACUGCCAUGUUAUGGGCAACAUUGGCCCUGAUGCAAUUGCUGACCAAGAAGACAUAGUCGAAGUCGCCGUGCUCGGAGAGCCCUAGCUCUCCGACUGCUAGGUGUCGUUGUAGGCAGUGGGGAGUAAGUGCUCCGGCACGUGGCAAAACUCGAUGGAGACAAGAGGAGGAGGACUUGAGCCAUGAAGGCAUCGAGGAAUAAGGAGAAGUCAAUUAGGAUUUCGAUAUUGGGAUCCAUUGGAGGAGGUGGAGAGGAGGGAGGAGAGAGGUGGGUGAAGGUGCAAAUAGGAGGCAGAAGGAGCUUUCAAAAGCUCCUAUACUUUGAAAUAUUCAUAGCAUUAACUAUCAUUUUUGAUUCUAAAAUACCAUUGAAGUUUGAAAUAUUUAUCAUACAUACUAGCCAAGCACAUAACCAACUAUAAUCGGUUAUCGGUGGGUAAAUCAACACCAUCCAUGUUGAAUAGGACAACAAGAGAAAAUUCUAAAGCUUGGCAUGCCAUAACGAAAGUUAUCAAUUUUUUUUGUUCGAUUGAGAAGUAUUUUUGUUCUCAAAUUUCAGCCUAAGUUUACCAUCUUAAGGUAAUCUUACAUAGCCUAUCUCAAGGAUGAAUUUCAUCAUUAAAUUUGGCAGUGACUCAAGGAAUAAGAAUUAUUUGGAAUCAUUUUUAUAUAGAAUUACUAUAGUACAGAUAGACGAGGUGAUCUCGCCAUGUACGCCAGUAUCAGCUUUGAUAUACGGAUGAUUCCAAACGCUUCCCUAGAGAAACUCUCACCUCAUCCAGCUUUGAUAUACGGAUGAUUCCAAACGCUUCCCUAGAGUUUCUACCAAUGCAUCCCUGAAACCGCCAACUUCGACGGAUCUUUUACAAAGUUGGACCAAGUUUUCGUUCGCUCAGCCCGACAAUGGCCUUCUCCUGCGCCACCUUCAGAGCCUAUGAUCCCUCCUUCCUCCCCCCAAACCCCGCCGCCCCCUCGAUCGACUCCGCCGCUCUCGCCCGAAACUCUCUCUUGUCGAUCGAAGUCAGAGGUUUCAACUCGCAUUCCAAUCCCAAAUCCAGAUUCGCUUCGUCCUCCCAUGAGACCCUUUUCCCAGUAUUUUCUACCGAAAACACCUGUAGGCGCUUUGCUAAGAAUGACAAAUGGAGCCGCCACGCGGAACUCGAUCGUGUGAAUGGAGCCGGCGACGGCAGCGGCGGUAAUGGUGACGGCGGUGGAGAUGAUGGCGAACAUGAUACGGAGGAGGCUGAGUUCGGGCCGUUGUCGAAAUUUGAGGAGGUGAUCCGAGAGUUGGAGGCUCGUGAGGCGACCCUGCCUUCUUCGUCUCUGACAUGCUGGAGGUGGCGAAAGCUAUGGGGAUCCGAAGAGAUUUUCUCUUUAGAUACCUGGACCUACAGGUAUUCCUUCUCAAAUUGUGUGCAAAAUCUUAACUUCUCCAAAAAGUUCACACCUUUUUGUGUUUUUCACUUUAGAAGGCGGCGCCUUGGCCACUGGGUGCUUUGAUGAGGUGCUGCGCGAUGUUCCGGGAUCGGAUGCUUGCUGACCCGUCAUUUCUUUUUAAAGUUGGAACUGAGGUCUGUUGAUUUUUGUUGCUUUAGAUGUUCUUGGGAUUGCAUUUGAGGAAUUUUUCCAUAUUUCAACGGAGUUAUGGAGCAAUGCAGAUCGUUAUUGAUUCUUGUUGUGCAACAUUUGCGGAAAUUCAAAAGAGGGGGGAGGAUUUUUGGGCAGAAUUCGAGUUUAUGCUGCAGACCUUUUGGUUGGGAUGGUUGUAGAUAUUGCUCUAGUGGGUUUAUUAGCAACAUAUGCGCGUAUUGGGCGGCCAUCGGCAUCGACCGGCUUUUUCGGAAGCUUGACACGUGCUUGUGAAGCUCUACCUAGCAGGUGAUCAACUUAAAAUGAUGUUAGUUUGAGUCCCUAAGUAAAGUUUGAGCACCAUCUCUAAUUUGAUUCUCUUGGAGAAACCAGAGGUUUGUGGUUUUGCUAUAUUUGCUUGAACGAAUUCUUUCGGCUAUCUAAUAUAUUGGUGAUUUUGUUGUAAUUCAAUUUGCCAUUGCUGUUUGAGUAGAUGGUAUCAGUACCUGUGAUGGACUCACUAACCAUUUUCUGUAUCUGAAUGUAAAUUAUUUCUUAAUGAUUAAAUUAUUGAUAUGUGGACCAAUUAUUGGUUAGGUGUUUACAAAUUUCACAGAGAACAUUCUGCAUAGGACUAAUUAUAUGUAAUGUAAUAACUAAUAGAAAAACAUUUAUUAGCAAUGUAUUUAACGGUUAACAUUAGGAUUUUUCCAGCAGUUCAAACAAGAGGUCUUUCUGUGAUAAUUGGUACUUCGGUCAUUCAAAUUUAAUCAUCCAUCAAAUUUCUAUCUUGAUUUAUGUUUCUAUAGUUUGCCCUGUACUGUAUGAUACAGUCUGGUCAAAUCAUAAAUUUCAUGAACCUUAGCUUUAAACCAAUUGCAUACAUGCUCACAUAUUCCUGUGCAUAUUACAUAUAGUUAGGAACCAUGAUUUGCAUACCAAGCUGCUUUUUUAAGACCUUAAACCAUGUAGUUAGGAACCAUCUUUUUGGGCACUAACAAAGUGGGUUAUAGUAAAGUAAAAGGACAUUAAUAGGCAGCAAUUGAUGAAUGAUCAACAAACCAAUGUGUAUCUUCUAGUCCUUAUAAUAAAACCUCCAUUCAUGUCCUCCACUUGUCCCUGGUAGAAUAAGAAAUAACAUAAUGGAAUAAUCUAACAUUUAGUUAAGCAGGUUGUGUAUAGCUAACAUGAGAAGUUUGUGUAUGGAUAGGUCAGAAGACAAAAAGAUGUUCCCACUACCACCAACCGUGAUAGAUGAUCCAAUUGCUAAAGUCAUUGAUGUGACUGAAUGAGAAUUACUAUGAGAAAAAAAAAUGAUGUCCACUUCUUAUCUGAUGAUCCAUUUGACUCAAGAACCUAAUGGAUUGACCUGUGGGAAAUGAAGCAUUUAUUAUCUGAAUGAGCAAGAGAAUUUGAUGUUGAUGGAGAAUUAGAUGUCUUGCAAACAUCGAGUGAAAAGGCAUUUUUAUCUUUGGGGAUAAUGAUCAUUAGAAAUUGAAGCUAAAGCUUAUAGUGCUUGUUGUUAAUCUUUAUAAGAUGCUUGGUGAGCCUAAGUUGGCCUCCCAUGGAGAUCUCAUGAUAUUUCCAUCUUAUGGUUAAGUAAAUCACCAUGAUUCACCUUUGAAUGCCACAUACUCUAGCUUCUUUCUACUUGGCCUUCAUCUUUUCAAGGUUUCUGUUUCACUCCUAGCAUAAAGGAAAAUCUUCCAUUCAAAUUUGGAUGAUAUUUUUUCAUAUUAAUUUCUAAGUUGGGCUCUCAUGCUGCUGAAUGAAACACUGAAUAAUAAAUAUUUCACUAUUGCAAGCAAAUAUCUGCUGGGUUCAGUGUAAAUUUAAUAUAUUGUCUAUCCUUGAUAAAUUAACUUUUCUUCGGUCUAUGUUUAUGGGGUUUGUUUCCUGAAAUAAAGCCCUAUAGGUGCUUUUUUUUUCUUUUCAGUUUUCUACUUUUCCCUAGGUGAUUGAAUGCUAUAGAUGUUACAUGCUUAUUGCUUCAAAAGGCCGCUGCAGUAUGUGGGUGGUUAGGCGACCGCAUAGCACAUAUGCCAUAUGCGGGCCAGCUGCAUAUGUAUUUAAUAUUAUUUACCUAUUUAAAUAUCAAAUAAUUUAUUAAGUAAAAUCUAGACAAAAAUGUUAGUAACUAUAAAUAUUUAAUAUUUUUUCAAUAAAUAAUAUAAUGUUAGCAACUAUAACGACUAAAGUGACUGUUACUAAGUACCUAAUAGCAAUAGUUAUAACAUAAUUAACAUGUUAAUAUUAUUAAACCUAUAUCCAUUCUACCCAAAAACAUUUUUGACCUAAGUAUGAGCUUGAAUCUGCUCCAUCCGCACAGAGCCAACAUAAUAGUAGGCCACAUAUAUGGCCCAUAGCACAUAAUGCGAAGCAGGCCAUAUAUGCAGUAGAACAAUGUGAAGUGGGCUGCAUAUGCGGCCAUAUAAUGCCAAGUGGACUGCCUUUUCAAUUAAUAUGCAGUCUGAUUGAAUAUAGUAAAUGAACGGUACCCUUAAUCGUAAAAUAUUUAUUUUUUCCAUUGUUUGCAUGCUAUACGUAUGGGAUUUGAAACUUCAACAUUUAUCUCAAAUUCAGCUGUUUCACCGUUCCUUUUGAGCUGUUUAUGUUCAUCAUUGAAAUUUUGUAUUAUGUCCAGGACUGUAAAAAAAUCAGAAGAAGAUUUACCUGUUCCUCCACUUGUGCAAAGUGCAGCUCUUUGGGGUAUGCCUAGAACUAUUGGGAAUAACUAACUCGUUCUUUUUCUUUUGAAUUUUUAUGUCAUUAUUUGACCAUAAGCAUUGGAGUUGUCUUGUAUAUUUUGCUCUUACUGUGUUUGAAUCAUUUUUGGCAGGUUUUUGUUAAUGUAUUGCAAAACUAAACAAAAAGUAGAAACUUUAAGUGGGAAUUCAACAUGAAUAGAAUGUUGUCAUCAGGUUGAGCUAAUCAUAAAACAUUCCCAAACUUAAUUAGCUCAUACUUUGAUCCAUAGUUUGAUUUGAUGUAGAUGGAAUAAAUCAGGUUUGGUAACAUUUUGAUUGCAUAGGAGAUAGGACUUUUGGUAUCAUUAUCAUCUUGUGAAAAACAAUGGUGUCAACUCCAUUUGAUCUCUUCCUGUUGUAUAACCUUCUGUUUGAUCCAGCCAUUUAGGCUCCUCUAUUGCUGUUUCUCUUCCUUCCCAUAUUAAUUUACUGUAGCAUGCUCCUCCUUUUCUUCUCAGUGUUGCCAUGAUCCUCUAAUCCUCUCUCUCCUUAACUCUUGGCUUCUCUGCCCAUUUCUGACUUGCUAGGAACUACGAGUCAUCAUGGGGAUCAACCAUCACAGUCAUCUUUGGAUGCUUGAGUUGCCUAGUCCUUUCAAAGGCUUCUCCAAAGGCCUAACUUUAUUAUUGCAAGGGCUUUCUUUCCUCAUGCGAGGGACGCUCCUCACUUAGGUACCAAAAUUUAUAGAGCACUUCAUCUCUAUGUGAAGAUGAAAGCAUGGAUUCAAGUACCGAGCAUGCCAAUCAAUAAUGACCAUGCCAUACUACAAUAGGUCACGGGCAUAUUACGCCUUGUCCUUGUGCUCUGAACAGGUGCAUGCCAAUUUGUAUUGGUCUGUUUUGGGCCAUAUUGAUUUGGUAUGGUUGCCAAAAUGCAGUAUAAUAGGCUGUGAGACACGGGGNNNNNNNNNNNNNNNNNNNNGGGCGUGCGGCGUCUGCCGCGCCUCGGGCUCGGGGCGUGACAUAGGCACAAGUCUAUAGAGCCUUUUCUUCUUGCCCCUUUUUUGGUAUUUUCAUUUGGUUUGAUUUGCGUGGUUUCCUUGGAGCAUGAUGAGGGGUCUCCAUUAGCCGUCGGUUUGGGAUUUUGCUGAAAUUAUUUUUCUUUGUGCGUUCUACUCAAGCUCAUGAUUUUGAUUUCCCAAUGCAUGUGCUAAAAGCAUUUCUUUUUGAAGUAGCAUGCUUAUCAUGCUUUUUUUGUGAUACAUUCAUUAAUAGUCGAGCAUGACUUGUCCAUUUAUCACAUUUCUACUGACUCAUUAUAUAAUGUGCUUUAUCAAUGCCUUCUUUAUAUUCUAGUUAUCCUAAAUCUUACUCUUUGUUCUAAUUCAUUAGUAUGAUGUAAUAUUGUGCUAUAUUACCUUAAAUAAUAAAUUGCCUACUAAUCAACAGACAUUCAUGUCAUGAUUUUUAACUGCAGGGUACUAUUUGUUGCUUUUUAUCUUUUUUCUUUUUUGCAAAGUAACAUGUAAAACCUUAGAAGGAAGUUUAAAAUAAUUCAAGUUGACAAAAAAACCUAAAUAUGCAUAUAUCGAGGCGCCUAUGCUAAAUACUAUUAAUUAGUAUUUAACUAGUAUUGUUUAUUGGUAUUCCAUUAGAUUAACUAUUAUUAAAAUAUAUUCAUAUAUUAAUAAACCAGUAUAUGCUCUAAGUAUAUUAUCUAUUUAUAUAAAUACUUAAUAGAUUUUUCUCAUGUUCUAUUUAUACAAUUUUAAUAUUUAGAUGUUGAAUUUUAGGAAUUAGUUAUGAGUUAGUUGCUAUUUUUAUCUUUUCAUAUAGCAUUUUUAAUUUUAUUAAAUAUAAAAAUUGUAGAGAUGGACUACAAAGAAAUUGAGAUAAAGUUUCUUUGUGUAAGACAUCCAAUAUCUGCACCAUUCAAAAUAAAAUGUAAAUAAAUAAAAAAAGUAAUAUAAGUCAAGUUUUGCUAGAUGAAUCUAUAACAAGACUAUGCCACCUGGCAAAAUUUUAAACUAAUCAGUUUGAACUGAUUUAAAUCAGCUCUUGUUUCGCCUGGGAAAUUUUGGAUGAAUUAACAAUUACAAUUAAAAUUGAAUAACCUACAACAUUUUACAUUCAUAUUCCAUGAUAAUAAUUAAUUGGUGUAUAUUUAUGUUUCUGCAUCAUGAAUAUGAUAGUUGCUAGGCAUGUUUGAUUACAUCAAGCAGUUCUUAGUAAUUUAGCAGUUAUAAUUUUAUUGGAAUUUUAGCUCUGGUUAAUGGAUCAUCUGAGAGGCUUUUAGUUACGAUUCGGUGAUAGCAUGCAUGGAGGCUGCUUGGUUACAUAUCUAAAUCUAUUAUAUGGUCUCUCUAGCCAAAAUGAAGUGAUCAAUUCUGUAUGCAUGGAAAAAAGAGCACUGGAAUGAUCUCAACUGAAUAUGCAUACAAUCAAAAUAAAAAGGAAGGAAAACAUUACAUUGAGAGAGUCAUAAAUUUGAUUGAGUUUCCAUUACUUCACCCAAUAACCCUAAUUCAGUUAUUUCAACUGCAUCAAAUGUGCUUAUUGCAUGCCCAUGUGUGCCAAGGACUGGCAAAGCAUGGCAUGAGGCACUCACGUGCUUGUGUAUGACGGACACAACAUCGGCACAUGACGCCUAAGGUGGUUUCAUCGUUUUAAAUAGGGCAGAUGUUAAUUAAUUAGAGUUCCUGAGUCCUUCGAGUCUGGCUUUUGUCUUUUUCUAGCGACCAUGGGUGAAGGUUGAUGUGCAAGAGUUGGAUCAUUGGUAGAUCGAAGAAAAAGAAUAUGCUUUUUGACAUUCACAGUUGGAGUUCCAAGCUUGAUGACUAUCUUCAUAGUGAAAUAUCUAAACACAAAAUUUGUAAUUAAAUUCUUUGUUUUUUAAGUAUCAGCCUGUUGGUACGUAAAUCACUUUAAUGUAAGUCUUGGGAACAGGAUAUUGCAAACAAAGCAAUUGGAAAGGUGAGUAUAGGAUGUCAAAAGGGAGGCCUGUUGACCUAAGCUCUGCAGUUUGCAGCAUGACAGAGCUGUAAAAAGUGGGAAAAGCAGAUAAAGUAAUACAUUAAAGAAAGAUUUAGGAAGCUAGGGUUGCUUGUGAUUAAUGGACUAGAGUUUUGAUUGUCUUAGAAGGUGAUAGUGUAUUAAAUCUAGAGUUACUAGGGGUUAUGCUGCAGUUUUGUCUCAACUCUCAAAGGCUUGAGCUGGUACUGAAAGAGAGCUUAGAGAUUAUGCAUGAUAAAAGCUUAGAGAGCUUUCCUCCAGGAAUCUCACCCUUUGCUGCCUUGGAGGAAAGAGAGAGAGAAGUUCAAGAGAGAAGAAGUUCGCAACGGACGUGUGAGUUGAUUCCUAGGACUUGGAGCUCUAUAUGGCUUUUUUUAGCUCUCUGGAAUGAGAUGGAUUAUUGGCAACGGUAGAAAAGGAUAAAUUUCUGGGACUUUCGGGUCCAAACCUAGCGUUGUUGGUCUCUUCUUCCCUGCGUGGUGAUCAAUGCUACCAUGUAUUCAUCCAUGGUUGGAGGAAGAGACGUGUAGGACUAGAGUUUGGGUAAUAUUGCGAAAGCAAAGCCAUAAUUUGGUAAAGGAUUAUAAACGGAUAUGAUCUUGCAUAUGAUUUGGACUGGGAAAAGGAUUGGUUAAAGUGGGAACAGCUUCUAGAAUCAAGAGUAGCGCCUUUUCCGGUCUUGACUUGUUUCUUGAAGGGCUGGUCAAGCAGGAGCUGAGCUUCUUGCAAGCUUGCCUAGAGAUCAUCUUUGGGCUUGUACGCUACUAAGUUCUGAGAAUGAUUACACUUAUGAGAAUAUAUAUCGUAUUGGAACUCCUGAUUUUUUUAUGCUUUACGGCAAGCUUUUUAAAGAGGAAACGGCUUCUAGAAUCAGCUCUCCUCUUUCUGUUAGGAUCCAAACUAGGUGUUCUUUUCCGACCCUUUCUACAACUCUUCUAUAAAAUCUCCUGCAGUCUGGACCCACACAUUCAUCUCGAACUUCUUCUCUCUCUUUCCUCCAAGGCAGCAAAAGGUGAUUUCACUUAUGGCUUCCAAGUCUUCUUCGCUCAAGGUUGUGUCCUUUUUUUGGUGCUAUUCUUUUGGACUUCAACUGGUCUCGAGGAGAGGGAAGGGUGCUACAUCAAGGCCAUAUAUAGCUUGUGUGACUCCAUUGCCGACACUAGCAACCUCCUUCGCGAGGGCGUGGGCAGGGCUUUUGCACCCAUCCACACCUUCCAUACGGCGAGACCACUUUUCACAAGCCCACCGCGCGCUGCUCCGACGGCCUCAUUAUUGAUCCUCUCCUAAUGAUGCAGACAUAGAAAGCAAUUACGGCUCCCAUGAUGAAUGCUAUACUGAUCAAAUACAACAUGCUUAGAUAGAGAAUUAGGAUUGAGAAACGGCUUUGAGAAUAUUUUGUCAGCUUUUGGUGGAUUCUCCUAUCCAAGCUAUGGAGUCCAGGAGAAGUGGAAAUGCUGCUACGAGAAUGGCAAGUCACUUUGCUGAGCUAUUGAGUCCAGGAGAAGUGGGAACCGUAGCAUAGGAACUUAGAUUUAGUUGUCAAUUAGUCUGUUCAUAUUUUUAUUUUUAUUUUUUUAAUGAUUUGUUUAGAGUAUUAGUUAUCUAUCUCUCAUGGGAAUAUGUCAUUUUUUGCUUCAUCAAUUAUAUACAAUUGUGCUAAAUUUGAUGGUCAAGAUUUUAUGUCCAAGCAAUUGCAAUAUAGGAAUGGAUGCCUUGUUUAUCAAGAAGACCUGCGAAGAUAAAUGAGUUUUGAAAAUUCGAAACCCAAGAUUCGUAGUUACAAGCUUUGACAAUGUGCUAAUAAUGUCAGAUUUAACAAAUCUUGUAUAUACAGAUAUUAUAUUCUUCUGUUAGGCAAGAGACUUUAUCUUUAUCAGCAAUUCCAAUCCAAUUAUAUCAGCAAAGAAAGAGUAAGAAUCUCUUCAUGAGGAAAAAAUGAAUUGUAUUAGUGUUAAGAAUCAUGUUCCGCUGAAGGUCAAUAUAACCUUUUGUAUAGUUUAUCUGCAAAUGCUCAUUUCAGCUACAGUACAUGUGGCCUUCCUGUUACCCAUUGUUUCUCCUCUUUUAGUAUACUUCUUUGCAGUUGUCACAUAUAUUUGGAAGAAUUUCUGAUCAUUCAUAUUAGUGUUAAGAGCCAUGUACUGCUAAAGGUCAAUAAAAUAACCUUUUGUGUUGUUUAUCAGCAAUGCUCAUUUCAGUUAUGUGUGGCCUUCCUGUUUCCCAUUGUUCCUCCUCUUCUUUUCUCCUAGUUCCUAAUCUUUGAAGUUUGAAUCUCUUUCUUUCUGUGUCUUUUCUUUUCUAAAUCCGUCCAACUUCUACAGGGACCAUGCAUGAUACUGUGUCUGCUAACAGAGCAUCUGAAGCAUUUUAUCUGGCUGGAGGUGUUGACAUUUUGGCAUUGCCAUUUCCUUUACUGAUAUUCAUUGCCUGGCAAGCAAAAUGCAAGUGCAUUACAGAUUAAUUUAACAUAAAAAUCAAUUUAACAGAAAAAUCUCUUUCCCUAGGAAGGGAAGUUGAUUGAAUUCUAAUAUAUGUUAACUUAGGUAAUUAUUUUCUGGGAGGUGCUUUUGCUGUAUGUGAACAUUGGAUAUGAGAAGGAAAUUUUGCUAACCACCGAUCAAGGAACCAAAUAAACCCGUUGGUUGUUCAUUGAUUUGCCUGAUUGCACUAAAGCUGUCAUCAUAAUCAGCAAUUAAUGGGGUAGUCCAUUACUUACCAAUUUAUUUUUACGUAGAAGAUGCAUGAUUUAAGAGUUCAGACUCUUGCUUUAGCUGCAGAGUAACAUUUUAAGGUUAGGUUAAUUCCAACUCAAGAUGGCUUAGCCAGCCGAAGCACCAAUCUUAUUUAUGCUUGGGCAUGCUUAUUCCCUUAGGGGCCCCUUAAUAAAGACACAAAGCAAGCAUUGCUCAAAAAUAUAAAUUGUUUGCUGUAUAUUAUGUAGCAUAUAGUUCUUUAUAUUAAAAAAACUAAGAAUGUGGAAUGAGAUUGCAGCAGAAAUAAGCAUGCACACUUGUAUGAAAAUUGAGGCACUGGCGAAAACAAGUCACUUAGGUUACAACAUGCAUAAAAAUAUACCUAUGUAUUUAUAUUUUCCUUGCAAUUGUUUUAGAGGACUGAAUCUGCUUAGUGGUUGUGUAUUGAAGACUAACAAGAGCAUCACUUGAUCUAGUUUGCGGAUGUUCGUAAUCUUCUACAGAUUUCUUAUCUUCUUCCAUGUUUUGAUUUAUCUUCCAUCCUUCUGCAUAAAUUGGUUCAGCUGAAAGGAAAAGGAAUGACAAAGUAGAGAAAAACCUCCACUAUGAACAAACAUCCAAUCACAUCCAUGGACAGAAAGUUCUUUCUAUCCAACAAACAAGGUUUCGUUCAGAUGUAGGCUUUGACAUCACAUACCCCUGAUGCCAUGAAAUUCAUUUUUGAUUUCACUCUUCAGUAUUACGAGCAAGCUUCAAAACUGGCAACUGUCUGUGAACAUUUAUCUGUUAGCAGAUAUUUUUCAGAAUUAAUACCAUCAGUUAAACUUGUGCCAGAUAAUGCUGGUCUUACAAAGCCCUGCACAGUAGCCGUUGGAAACAUAUAAUGGAACUGAUCUGGUGGGCUGAAAAAUGAAAUAUACUGAAAAGAAACAAAAGGGCGUGAACAAAAUUAUCAUUCAUAAAAUGUCAAACUCUGAUGGUACCUGUUCACCAAGGAGCCUAAAAAAUUAUCUAUAUAUUAGAAUAUGGUAAUUGUGCACUAAGAACUAAUUUACACUUGAUAUUGCUUUUUUGCAUGUGCUAAUGCAACUCUUAUUUUCCCCUGACGAUCACUUAUUUCAGUGUUGAAGGUGAAGAAAGGAGUCUUGGCACCGGAGAUUAGACUGCUUCUGAAUUAGUGCCUUAUAGGCUUGAUUUUUGCUUAAAUAUCAUGUCUUGUGACUUCUACUACUGAGGGGGAUUGGUGGAGAAGAAGCCAUAAUGAUCACACAGCCUGCAUUUUAGUAGUUAAGAUACCGAUUAACAGGACUGAGAUGAACCAUAAAACCUAGGGUGCCCUAUGAGGGGCCUUAUAUCAUGCUUUUCCCAUGCCAAUGAAACCUAAUUUAAAUGGUGAUUGAGAUGAAGAAUCAUACCAUAUCCAGUUUGAGGAAUUGCUAUGCAGAUCAUCCAGUGCUACCCUUGCUCACUGCAAUUCCUCAGCAGAAUUUGCCAUAUUUAAAGCCUUCACAGAGAACUUCUGAUCAUGUAUUAUGUAACAAAACUGCCUGAAGAUGCUCCUGUUUUAUGGUAAAACGGCAACAUAAUAAAGAGGAACCAUUUACCUUUAUGUCUGAGAGUUGCUAUUCAUUCACCAACUUUGCUUUGAGACUUACGCAGCUGCUGUUGUUGUUUAGGUUGGUCUUGAAGACAGAAAUCCUUCUUGUAAGAGCUCUGAAUCAGUUCAUCAUCACUGAUGGCUUCAACAUGAAGCAUUAGAUUGCAGGUCACCCAGGGAGCCCUCAGCAAUAAAUUUUUCCUAUAAGGGACAGCUUCUCGAGCCAAGGACUCUGCAGCUGCUCCCGCCAGCCACAGUGGAAAGAACUCUGGUUUCUGAUCAUCGAGCGCCAUGUAAAACAGAUGUGUUCCAGUGCAUUAACACCCUCCACAAACUUCCAACUCCUCACAACCAUUAACAAGUAUAAGUUUAAGUGCAGGGAUGUUUGAUACUCCUUCCAAACUUUUAUCGUCAAUCAAGCUUAAUUUUGUAACAGAGAGGAGGUUUUGUAUUUCUCUGAGGUUAUGCGCACCUUUAAUAUAUAGAUCUCUCAAGGCAGUGGCAUGGCAAAGGAGCCUAUCUGGAAGAGACCUCAAACUGGGGCACUCAACAAUCUUCAAUAUCUCAAGAGAAGGUAGCAACAACAUUAUCUGGUUAUCCUCCAACUGCCACCACCAUUCUGCCCAAUUAGGCAUGCCGAUGAAGAAAAGUUUCACUAGCUUGGCGAAGUAGGAGCCUUUCACCAGCACUGCUUCCAGCCACCAAUAAUUCAGAUCCAAUGCUUGUGACUGCAGAAGCACCUGAAAUCUUGAAGUAGUCUAGUUGUGGUAGCAAUCCAAAGGGUGGAAGCUGCUUGCAAUGAAUACAAUCUUCUAGCCCCAAUCUUUGCAAGUUGAGAAGCAACGAUGAGAGUUCCGUCAUCCAGAUGGCCAAAGUACCACGGAUGCUAAGGCUUUCUAGUUAUGGCAGUGGGCAGAGCUCCUUGAAUACCUCCUUAAUCUUCUUGAUCUCUUAUUCACUGCAUGCAUGAGGAUGUACAUCAGAAUUGCUUGGUAGUUUGCAGUGCAGAUGUAGGUAUCGAAAACAGUCGAGGUUUGGUUACAAGUGAAGCAGCUUUUGCUUCAGCUGUGUCUGAUACGCUCUCCAACUUGAAUGCGGUAAGAUAUCUGAGCUGGGAGAGGGAUUUCCAGCUCUUCCAAGGUGCAUAAACCAUGUUUGUGAUGUCCCUUGUGCUUGUGCUCCUGCGAACCAUCCCGCUAUUCACCAUUACUCCAGUAAAUAAAUUUAGAUGCUGCAAUCUCCAUAUUCCCAUCAAGUGGUGUACCUUCAAGAUAAAGAGUUCUUAGAUUCGUUAGCUGUAGGACACUGCAAGGGAGGCUGUGCAAGUAUUUACAUUCUGCGAGGGUCAGGAAUUGCAGGUUUUUGAGAUUACUAUGCUCUCUGGUAUUUCUCUUAUUUGAGUACCAGUGAGAUUAAGAAAUCUCAAAUGUAUAAGAGCUGUUAAGGAAGUUGGUAGAUUGCUAAUGGCUGUAUCUUUGAAGUUUAGGAUCCUCAAACACCUGAGUUUUUCGAAAAUAUCUUUGGGAAGAUUGCAAACAAGUGGUCUGUGAAAGGAGCCUAAGGUCCUCAAGGAUGUCUGCUUCAUGAUCAUGUCAGGAAUGGCCACUAAUUCCCCAUCUACAAUGGAUUAAUAGCGUAGUUUUAUUGAUGAUGCGGUGGAGAUGAUAUUGUCUGUAAAUCCUUGUUCGUCCCCGGUGGAGCCACUCAUGCAUCCUACAACCUGUUUUGCCAUAGAAGCUAAGAUCUGGUUGCAGAAGGCUUCUCUGCAAACUCUUUCUAAAACCCUUUCACCAAAUCCUCCGAGAACAAAUUCUCUUCAGCUUUUAUAAAACCAUGUGCGAUGCAAUAAAUCACAAAUGUGCACUCACAAAUAAUGAAAUCCUCGAGAAAUAGCCACAGUGAUGCAGUAGAGGAUGGGUGAUUGCUGAAGAUUGGGGAUGGCAGCUGAUUGCUUUCUUCCUUCUUUUUUUCUUUUUUUGUUAGUGGUGGUUAGGGUUUUUUGUGGAUGGAGAAAAGAGGAAGAAAAUGAUGAGGGUGCCUAAUUAGUUUAAUUGGGUUCAAUGGUUGGCGACUGAAAUUGGGAAUUAUGUUUGAUUGGGUUAGAGGCGGAUGGAGUUGGUUUGGGAUCCUAACUUGAUUGGGUUUGGCGUGAGGGGUUUGUUGGCGUGAUGGGAAUGAGGAGUCCUAAAGGGUUUAGGACUCUUGGUUAGGCUUGGGGAAUGGGUUGUGUUGGCAUGAAAUAUGGCUUUCGCGUGAGAAUGGCUAUGGCGUGAGGGAAGAAAAGAGAUUGCUAUGAUGGCGUGAGAUAUGGAUAAGGGGAGACAACUAGGAUUAUGAUGAGAGAAUCUCACUCUCAAACCAAUCCAUGGACCUUCAACCUUCCACCAACUUGGCAUCACACCAAGAGAAAGGAAUCUCUCCUCUCAUGUGAAAGGUCACAAAAUUUCUUCAAACUCCGAAUUUUAUUCUUCAACGUUCUUUAUAUAGAGUAAGAGGUUGGAACAAGUUGGACUCUUACAAUCUGAAAUUUAGGACUUCUUCUUUAAAUAGGACUCCUACUAAACUUAGACUCUUUUAAAUUAAAUCAAACUAUGGGCUAAGUCAACCAUAAUUUAAAUAAGACUCCUACUUGACUUGGACUUUUCAUGACACUCAUCUUUGAAGGAGUCAACAACAAAUAAAAGAAGAAAAACGUGGUGACUUUUUUUGAGGAGGCUUUGCGCACGCCAUGAAGGGCUUCAUGCACGCCUUGGUUUCGUUCCUAAAUUCAGACCCUUUUUGGACCAAGUCAACAAGCCAACUAACACUCAAAGGCUCUUUCUAAUUUUGGACUAAAAAUUCUGGACUCAAUGUAACAUUAGACACGCAUAAUGUUGGACCCAAACUCCUAAACUCAAGACUCACAUAUAAAUUAGGACUCUUCAAUGCCUCAAGGACUCAAUGUAAUUAGGCAUUAGAACAUUAGAACCUAAUGUAACUAGGUGUUGGAAAUCUUGGACCUAAUAUGAUUCGGUGCACACCUAAGGAGGGGGCUCAAUCUCCACGCAUGCCUCAGGCUUGGGCUCAUACUCCUGCAUCAGUACAUCUUGCUAUCUUGGAGCAUCCACCUCUCCUACCUGAAUUCUCCCCUCAUAUGAUCUUAUUGCCUCUAGCCAUAUUUCCUGAAAAGUAUAUUUUUGUUAAAAACACUAGAUAGAAUUAAAAGGUAAGAACUUUGGUUGGAAAUAUCAAGAUUAAAUAAGCACAGGAAUAGUUAUUAGCAAAACAAUCUACAACAUAUUUCAAUAAAACACAAAAAUUGUAACUUACCAAAUUAUCAAUUAACAUAGACAUCAUGAAUGACAAAUAUGCUUCAGCUAGUCAUAGACAUCAAUAUUACCAUCCCCAUCAUCAACCACUUUAUCAUUAUCUACAAGGUUUGGAUCAACAUAUAUAGGUUCAAUAUCACCUCUUCAAUAUAAUUUCAUUAUCACCAUCAUCAUCUAUUGCCACUAUAGGAUGUACCUAACUAAUUGUCUCAUUCUCUUAGAUUGCUUCCUGACAACUAGUUUGACCAGCUUCAUGAAUAGCCUUUUCAAAUAGUUUGGGCAUAUUGUACAAAUUAUGAGGCCCUUUUUUUUACCACAACAAGCCAAUUAGGAUCCUUAUGAUCUCUUGCAUAGUAUACUUGUUCUGCUUGGUAUGUAAGUACAUAGGGCUCAUUUGUAUUUAAGAAACAUUUGAUAUUCGCGGUAAUACACUUAUAUUUAUCCUCCUUGUAUCCUCUAUCAUGAUACAUAUCCCACCAAUGAUAUUUGAAUAAAACAACUUUGUUGCCUCCAUUAUUGCGCAAUUCAAUAAUGUCAUUUAAAAUGCCAUAAAAUUCUUUGGAGCCUAUAGAUUCAUCUCCCUUAACUAAUACUCCACUGUUUUGAGUUUUCAGAUGAUCUUCAUAACUUUUUGUGUGAAACUUAAAACCAUCACUAACACGUAUAGUGAUUAUACAACCUUGAGCCUAUAGAUUUAACAUAACCUGUAUAUGAAUUGACUCAUUUUUGAGGACCUUGAGCCAAGUAUAGAAGUCCAUCACUAACACCUUCCAACCCUUCUAAAAUCUAAAAGCUUCUCAACGACCAUCUCAUUACUUCAUAACUCCAAGAUAAGCUAUUCAAGAAAACCCACGUUCGAUUGCUUCAUAAAAAUCGUUAGGGCAAGCAAUUCAAGAAUCAAGUACUAACUCGAAUAUCGAUUGCUGCAAUCUACUCGACUCUUCAAGUAAAAAAUCAUACUUCAGAAUCAAAACAAGAUCAACAAUAUAGAUCAAGAUUAAAGAGAAUACAAAUAGAUCAAGAUUAAAAUCUUUGAACAAAACAAUAAUAUGGCUGAUUAAGCUACAAGAAAAUAUGAAAAAAAAGGUAAAUUAAUCAGUGAGCUGCUUAUGUUUUGAUUUGAUGAAUACCUAAACAAAGAAAGAAGCAAGGGCUGAUUUGAGGAUGAAAUCUAUACUAGAGUUGCUCGGCGGCUUUUGCUUCUUAGAGAAAGGAGAAGAAGGGCUGGACUAUGGAGAAAAAGGGCAGACAUGUGCUUUAGAGGAAGAAGAGAUCGUGUAGGACUAGAGCACGGUAUCUGGUGGCAAGUUAGUUACGCUAGCCUAUUAAAAUAAUAAGUCCUACACCGUGCCCUAGUUUAGCUAGCGGAACUAGCAAAAAAAGAUCCAGCGCUAUUUAAAAUAAAUAUUAUCUCUCUAGACUUAGGUUCUACAGAACAUUAAUUGGUUGGAUUGGGUUCUACAGAACAUUAAUUGGUCGGAUUUGGACUUAAUGGUCCAAAAUAGUUUCUCUAUCACCAUAGGGAAAUAUAAAAUUAUAGUCUUAUUAUAAUCAAUGAUUUACAAAGAUAAUUCCAAUCAAUAUUAUAAUCUUAUUAUAUACUUGUAUAAUAAGAUUAUAGUCUUAUUAUAAUUAUAAUCUAAUAAUUAUAAUCAACGAUCUUCAGACGAAUCAUUGGACUCAAUGUGGACAACUUUGGCCAAUUAAGUAGGGCUAGAUAGAGUCCAAUGUCUAAUUAAGAUUAUAUAUAUAUAUAUAUAUAUAAAUCGAGCAAAUUUAAGUCGGGUUGUGCCCUUAGCGAUGCAGCACAAAUUCUAUCGUUUGGGACCUAAAAUGGCUGGUCAAACCGAAGAUUUUUCUUUUUGGAAAAAAUUUUGACCGAAUGUAUCUUUCAAUCCGAGAAGAAUCAGGUGGAGCUACAGAAGGUGAAGUUGAUGUAGAAUGCGAGAUCUACCUUAUAUAGGGAUUUAGAUUUUUUGAGCUUAUUUUUAUUAGUCAUAUCUAUUUUAGGAAAGUGAAUCCUAUUAAAACUAAGAUAGGAAUCCGGCUUGAAUUGUCCAAGGGUAGACCUAUCAUUUUUAUAGACACAGCUAUGUUGAUGACUAAUGAAGGAAAAUGAGACUUAAAACCCUACUUUCUUAGCUAUAUACUAUUUCUCUACUUGAUGGUUAGCUUGAUUUUAACAACACACCAACAUAAAAUCAACUUUUAUAAUUUUAUUUAUACUUUGAUAAUUUUACCGAUGACAUUAUCAAUUCAUCAUUAAUAUAUAAUAUUUUAGUGAUGAUAUAAUAUAUGAUCACUGUAGACAUAAAUUUUCAAUGAUCACUCUAUAGGCUCGUCAUUAACGAUAUAUACCUAUCAUGACUAUUUUAAUAUAUGGUCACUAAAGAUAUAUAUAUUUUAGUGAUGAAUCAUAUAUAUGUUUUAAUGAUGAAUCAUAAAAUCAUCAUUAGUGUAUUGACCAAUACUAGUUUUGGUGUCAAAAAUUAUGACUACAUACUUUAUUGUCAUUAAAAAUAUAGACUUUUGAUGACCACUCUAUUAGCACGUCAUUAAAGGCAUAUACCUAUAGUGACUAUUUUGAAAUAGCAUCACUAAAGAUAUACGAUUUAUUGGUGAAUCAUGAAAUUGUCAUUAAUGAACGACAACGUACAUAUCGUCAUUAACGUUAGAGACUUUUAAGGACCACUCUAUAAGCUUAUCAUUAAAGGUAUCUAUAGUGACCGUUUUAAAAUAUCAUCACUAAAGUCAUAAGUUUUAGUGACGAAUCAUAUUAUCGCCAUUAGUGAGUUGACCAAAAUCAAUUUUGGUUCCACAAUUAUUAUUCUGCCUAAUUGCAUGACAAAAUGAAUAAUAAUCGCAAAAAAGCUAUCUUUUAUGAUGAUAUCGUGUUUUGUCGUUAAAAUGUUUGACCAAAAUUGUUUGUUGUGAUCUCUUAGCUCGGAGAGGAAGGAGUGGGACAUCAGCAGGAUUGAUCAGCUAUUUAAAGAGUACCUUGUUGAACAUAUUCAAUCGCUCUCAGUUCUAAGGUGUGUUGGCCUGAAUGUGAGGCUUUGGAGUACGUCAUGCAGAGCCACUGUCAGGGUGGGAGAUGUCUUCCGGACCCUCCAGUAGGAGCACAAGCUAGAGAUGGAUUGUGCUUGGAUCUGGAGCUUCGGACUCUACCUAAGAGUAGCAUUAUUUCUGUGGAAGGUGGCAUGGGAGUGUCUGCCGAUGAGAUGGGUGCUAAGAAGAAGAGGAUUGGGCAUUUAACUCCAGUGUUCGGACUGCUGAGUGGACGAGAUGGUGGAUCAUGUGCUGUUCCAGUGUGCAUGAUCUAGAGGGGUCUGGAGGCUCGUCGAGGUCAUAUAGGAUACCUGAAGCUGGAUGGGGCCUUUUCUACAAGCGAUUCACCGAUGGUCCGACGCCCCCCAAAUGCAUCGGGUGGCAAUUUGAGCGACUUACGCAGCUUACCAGCUAUGGUUGGCGAGGAACGCUUGGACUUUUGGCGAGAGUAGUCCUUUUCUGAGGUUCAUCGUGGAGCACGCCCGAGUACAGGCAGUAGAGAUCAUUCAUAUAGGCUUAGUACAUGGGCCUUUGAUAGCUCGGGAUACUUGGAGCCUCUACUCUGCUCAGGCAGCGCCUCGUAUGGUAUUUUUCACCUGGGAGCCCCAACCUCCGAGCUUUCUCAAGGUCAACUUUGAUGGUUCUGUGCUGUACGGUGGCAGGAGAGGAGGUGUUGGGUUUGUCAUUAGGGGUCCGAACUCUAAGAUAGUGGCUGCUAGAUCUUCAAUACCUCAAUUUCUGGAGCAGAGCUGCGGAUAGCUUGGGCUAGCCUGCGUGGCGGGUGCUACAGCCCAACUCGAUUAUAUUGGAGGGCGACUCGGCCACUGUGAUCAGCUAGAUUCAGAGUGGCCCGAGUGGCAGUGGAGGGGGACACCAUCUAUUUCGGAAUAUUUCGGCGAUGGUAAGUGAUGGGGUGGCCUUUCAGGCUAUACAUGUGUUUAGAGAGGCCAACGGGGCUUCGGACUGGGUGGCUUCUUAUGUGGCCUACCACUUUGGGGGUACCCUAUGGCUGGAAAGACGAAGUUGUCGAGAGCACUUCGAAACUUGUUGUUUUCUGAUUUUAUUAAGUGUAUCUGUUCUCGUAAUGUAUGAAAUGCCCAUUUUAGCAAAAAAAAAAGUUUCUUUGCUAAAUAUAGGAAUUUUAGUGACUAGACUUGUAUUCAUAACUAAAUGUUCGUCAAUAAAAACCUAAAUUCUUGUAGUGAUCCUUCUUCUCUUCUUCUUGAUUUCUCUUUUUAAACCUUAAAAAGAGAAAAUAAGUUAGAAAAGUAAAAAAAUUAUUGUUACUAGCCAUUAUUAAAGAAGCAAAAACCUUAAUCUAUAAAUAAGAAAUACUAUAAGAAUUUAGAAUUUCAGUGACGAACUUUUUGUGAUGAAAUACAAGUCUAAUCAUAGAAAACCCCAUAUUUAGUGAUGAAAAUAAGAAAUGGUCAAAACAAAUCAUUUUCGUUUAUAUCUUUAAUGAGGAAAUGAAAUGCCAUCACAAUAUAUGUAUCUUUUGUGACUAUUUUUCAUUUUAUCACAAAAAAUUGCCAUCAAAUAAAGCCUUUUUAAGGUGGGAAAAUAAUUUUGGCACCAAAAUCAAUUUUGGUUAACUCACUAAUGAUGAUUUUAUGAUUCAUCACUAAAACUUAUGUCAUUAGUAAUGACAUUUUAACAUAUUUACUAUACAUAUAUAUCCUUAAUGAUAAAUUUAUAGAGUGGUUAAUAAAAGUCUAUAUUUUUAGUGAUGAUAUAUUAUGUUGUCAUAAUUUUGGUGUCAAAAACAAUAUGGAUCAAAUCAUUAAUGAAAAAUUUAAAAUUCAUCACUAAAACUUAUGUCUUUAGUGAUGAUUUUUCAAAAUAGUCACUAUAGAUAUAUAUCUUUUAGCGACGAGAUAAUAAAGUGGUCAUUAAAACUCUAUGUCUUUAGUGACUAUACAAUAUGAUGUCAUAAUUUUUGGUACUAAAAUCAAUAUUGGUCAAUGUACUAAUAACGAUCUUAUGAUUCAUCACUAAAUUAUAUAUCUUUAGUGAAGAUAUUUUAAAAUAGUCACUAUAAGUAUAUACUGUUAAUGAUUCGGUGGUCAUUAAAAAUCCGUCUUUAGUGCUGAUACAUUAUGUUCACUAAAAAUCUUAUACAUUAAUGAUGAAAUGACGAUAUCAUCAACCAAAGGAUCAAAUUGUAAUAAUAUUUUAAUAGUGCAUAUGUCAAUCAUUAAAAUAAAAUAUGUAUCAAUAUUUUCUGUUAGCAUGUUGUUAAAACAAAGCCAACCAUUAUGAGAAUUCAAGUAAAGAUUUGAAGGAUCAUGAGAUAUACCUAAUAUCACAUGAUUUUGAUUGGAUACUUGAUUGAUUUUGACAACAUAGAACUAUUGAAAUUCAUAUGCCCAUCAGAAUUCAAUUUAAUAAAAUUGAUUAUAUAUUAAACUUUUACCUAAAUUUUUUGAUAAGUUAAAUAUUUAUUUUUAACUUGAUUUGGCCCAAUUUAUUUAUUGAACAACAUACAUGAGUCAAGAUAAUUUAACAAUUAGAGAAAAAAAAAGAUAUAAAAUCUACUAUCAAUAUGGCAAGCGACACACUAUAAUUAGGUAAUAGUUUAAGAUGUAAUUAUUAAAAACUUGUAUGAAGACCAAUUUAGCUAAGGAUUCAGAUUAUUGAUCCAACUUGAUUUGUAUUAAAAAUAAUAAAAAUUUAAAAUUACUUAAAUUAAAUAUAUCAUAAAAGUAUUAAAAAGUAUUCUAUAUUAAAUACCAUUACUUAUUAAUUAUAAUAUGAAUCAAAAGAAUCAUGAAUUAUCUACUUUAAAAGAACUUUAGAAAAAAAAUAUAUACAAUUAUAUACCAUUAUAGAAAUAUAUUGAAAUUAUGCAUAUUUAAAAAAAUUUAAGUGAAAGGGUUUCAUAAUAUUAUAAAUAAUAAAUAAAUUUAUUUAUCUUUUAUUUUUGUCAAAAAGAAGAUGAUUAUUUUUUUAUAAAAUAAUUACUUAAAUAUCACAAAAUAUAUUAAAUGAGUAUAUUAUAAUGCGAAAGUUUUAAAUAAGUAUAAUAAAGCCUAACUUUAUACAAGAUGUUAAGGUUGUCAUGGUGGCUACCUAGUAAGCAAAUAUCCAAGAUAUCUUAGGUUCGUAAGAUUUUCAUCCGAAUUCGAUCGGACAAUAGAUAUAGAUAGGGAUUCCGUUGGAUAAUUUUUGGGUUAUUUACCGAUACUUUUUCAAUCUUUUAUCAUCAAAAAAAAAUUACCAAUGUUUGUCUUUAAUGACUAUUUCCAUUACAUCACUAAUUGUAUUAGCUUUUUAUGACCAAGAAUCACAAAAGAAAAUUGUUAGCGACGACAUUAAAUCCUCAUUAAAGCUUAUUUUUGGUCAUUAAUUUCUUAUCAACUCAUCAUUUUCAGGCUCUUUAACAAUUAUUUUUUUAAUCUUUUGCCAUAAAUAAUAUCAUCACUAAUAUUUGCUUUUAACAACUAUUUGUGUUUCGUCACUCAAUAUAAUAUUUUUUUGAUAAUUUUACAUGUUCGUCACUAAAACUUUUAGGCAUAGGGCCUUUAUAAUAGUCCCUUCCUCUUUUCUUAUCAUAUGUUCAACCUCACAAAAAUCUUAUAUACUCCCUUCCUCACACCUAAUCUUGGCUUGAUAACAAACUUAAUUUUUUCCUUAUAACCAAUAUUAUCCAUUUGGAUGCCAAAUCCUUGGCAUGCAUUCGCUAUUGUGGUACCGUAUAUUUGGUCCUCAUACCUUCCUUGAAAGCCUAAACAGCCAUAAAACUUCCUCCUAAAUCCAAUGAUAUUUACAUCAAUGAUAUCAUUAAUCAAUACCAUGGAUUCUUUUCUCUUUAUUGUACAAUAUCCCAACUAUUUAUUCACCCUCCAUAUCACCUAUCCUCUUGAGGAGGAAAUGAUCCAAUUAAAUUGCUAUAUCUAGCUCUUCUUCUCUCCUUUAUAUCCAAAUCUUUCCCCUAGUUGUAACCCCUUUUCUCUCUCAUUUCUAAUCCCAGCCUUCUAAAGAAAUACCACCAAAAAAACAUAAACCUUCAUUAGAUUUUUACCAUCCACCUUCCAAAUCCUCUCCUCUUCCUCUCCAACCAAUAGGACCUUGCCACCUAUAAAUCCAUCAUAAUUUUUAGAUCCUCUAAGAUUCAAUCAUGACCUUGCCAAACUUCCUCCCUCUAAAAUAACAUACCCCAAAUAAAAAUACCCUCCUUAAAUCUUUUCCAUCCAUCUAAAUAUUCUUUUCAUACUCCUUGGCUUAUAAAAUAUUGUCACCUCAAAUCCAUCAUAACUCUUAGGUCUAUUUAAAUUAAAUUAUAUCUCUCAAAUCAAUUUUUUCUCUCUCUACACAUCCUAUCCCUAUGAAGAAAUAUAUCCUAAGAUAGCACACUAUCCUAUCAUCUCAACCCUCCAAUCUCCCUUUCAACCUAAGAGCCAAUAAGAAGCUAAUUUAUUUCUUCUAUAAAUUGGAUUUAUGAAAAUCUCACCUCUCAUUAAAUUCUAAUCCUAGGAUAUCACAUGUUUUCCUUUAAAUAUAUCCUCCCUAUUAUAAAAUUAAUAGAAGAAAUGUUGCCCAAGGUGNNNNNNNNNNNNNNNNNNNNUCAAAAAAUUCCUAAGAAUUAGGCUCCAAACCCUAUCCAUCUCUCUCACUACACUCUUUCUCCUC